Molecule: long non-coding RNA, 58267 nt
Filed under: Brassica napus (rape)
Lineage: Eukaryota; Viridiplantae; Streptophyta; Magnoliopsida; Brassicales; Brassicaceae
Description: long non-coding RNA (BNAP_LNC005052)
Source: RNAcentral
CGACGGCUCUGGCCGUGGCCAGCGGGACCUUGGCCGUCAAGGCCUUGGCCAACGAGACCUUGGCCGUUUCCAUGGCCAAUGGAACCUCCACAACCUGGCCCACCACCAAACCCAUCACCAAAGCCUGGUCCAACACCUGGCCCAUCUCCAAACCCACCAAUUCCACCUAAGCCUCAACCAAAGCCACCAGCCCCUGGUCCAUCUCCAUGUCCACCAAUACCACCUAAGCCUCAACCAAAGCCGCCACCAAAGCCGCAACCAAAGCCACCACCGGCACCUACCCCGUCUCCAUGCCCACCGCAACCACCAAAGCCACAACCAAAGCCACCACCAGCACCUGGUCCAUCACCAAAUCCAGGUCCAUCACCAUCACCACCUAAGCCACCACCUAGUCCAGCUCCGAAACCUGUUCCACCACCUUCUCCAUCGCCAAAACCUAGCCCACCCAAGCCACCUUCUCCAUCGCCAAAACCUAGCCCACCCAAGCCACCUGCCCCAUCGCCAAAACCUAGCCCACCUAAGCCACCUGCCCCAUCACCACCUAAGCCACAGAACAAAACCAUACCGGCAGUGUUUUUCUUUGGUGAUUCGAUCUUUGACACAGGAAAUAACAAUAACCUAGACACAAAGCUAAAAUGUAAUUAUCGUCCCUAUGGUAUGGAUUUUCCUAUGGGAGUCGCCACCGGUAGAUUCAGCAACGGAAGGGUCGCUUCCGAUUAUAUAUGUUCGUACUCUCUUUCUCUCUGUCACAUUCCCUCUCUUUUCUUUCCGGCCACAGUUUGGCCUAAUGUGUGUUCUUCCCGUUUACAUUUUACCUAAGCUCAUUUAGAUAUUUCCUCUAAUUAAGUACUUUUCUCCUUGUUUCCUGAUUCCACUAGCCAAAUAUUUGGGAGUAAAAGAAAUUGUGCCGGCAUAUGUAGACAAGAAACUACAACAAAACAACGAACUACAAGAAACCGAUCUACUUACGGGCGUAUCUUUUGCUUCGGGUGGUGCUGGCUACCUUCCUCAAACAUCUGAAUCAUGGGUAAAGAUCAAAUCCUAAUUCCCUAGAUCAUGUUUUUUUUUUUAAAUGUUAAUUCAUUAUUAAUACACUGACUGAUCAUUUGAUUUAUUUAAAUCAGAAAGUCACAACAAUGUUGGACCAGUUGACAUAUUUCCAAGACUACAAGAAAAGAAUGAAAAAGCUAGUAGGAAAAAAGAAGACUAAAAAGAUUGUGAGCAAAGGAGCAGCCAUUGUGGUCGCCGGAAGCAAUGAUCUGGUUUAUACAUAUUUUGGAAAUGGUGCUCAACACCUCAAAAAUGACGUCGACUCUUUUGCCACUAUGAUGGCUGAUUCUGCUGCCAGUUUUGUUUUGGUACGUACUAGUGUACUACUAUCAUCCAUAAACUAUUUUUCUUAUAAAAUGUAAAUGUUUGAUCAAAACGAUAUUAAUCCAAAUAUUUGGGCAGCAAUUGUAUGGAUAUGGAGUAAGACGUAUAGGAGUGAUAGGAACACCACCGAUUGGAUGUACACCUUCACAGAGAGUUAAAAAGAAAAAAAUAUGUAAUGAAGAUCUAAAUUAUGCUGCUCAGCUUUUCAAUUCUAAGCUCGUAAUUAUUUUGGGUCAACUGUCCAAAACCCUACCAAAUUCUACAAUUGUUUACGGGGACAUCUACUCUAUCUUCAGUAAGAUGCUAGAAAGCCCGGAAGACUAUGGUAAAUCUUUUAUUUUAUUACAAUUGUGAGAAUUCUUAUAGGUUUACUUGUAAUAUGAGAUCUUAUGAAUUUGAAAACAUGCAGGGUUUGAGGAGAUAAAAAAACCGUGUUGCAAAAUAGGAUUGACGAAAGGAGGUGUAUUCUGCAAAGAGAGGACAUCAAAAAUAUGUCCCAAUGCAUCGUCUUAUCUGUUUUGGGACGGUCUCCAUCCCAGUCAGAGAGCUUAUGAAAUAUCAAACAGAAAACUUGUAAAGAAAUACAUCCAUUUUAUCUGAUUAAUAAGUACCUUUAUUAUAUUAUUAUUAAUCGUUUUUAUCUUACGAAAAGGAAACCUUUUGCAAUAUUAAUAACGUAGGCAUGGUCAGUUUCUUCCACAAAUAAUGCAAACAACCUUUGAGAUAAUCAUGUGUAAGCUUUUUGUUUUUGUUACAACAAAUUCCUCACCAAUCCAGCCAUGUUUGUUUAAGAUUUGUAUUCCUUAUGUUGAGCAAACCAACACGUACGGUGCGUUUUAGACUAUAAUCCCCUUCUCUUAAGAUAACUGGGGAACAAAUUAACUAAUUGGAAGAAACAUAUGUGCGUGAGAAGGCAAACGCGUAUGAUGAUGUCAAAAAGAUGUAAAAAGAGAGAGGCAAACGCGUAUUUGUUCUAAUAUCAUAUAUAAUAUGGGUUCACCAUGUGCAAAUAUUAUGCAUCGACUACUUGAGCAAUUGAGUUUCGGCCCUGAAGCUUUAACUGUUUCAAAGACACAUAAAAUCGAUUGGUAACUAUCAUAAACAACAAUCAUUUCAUGAGAACAAUGUGCUAAUUAACAUAUAAUGGUUACCUACCAAUUUUUAUCGUGCGAGCCGAGGAUAAAAGAGAGAAAACUUUUUGCAUACUUAUAUAUAUGUUAAUUUUAGCAUAGUGUUCUUACGACAUGAUUGUCGUUUAUAAUGGUCACCUACCAAUUUUCUGUCUUUGAAACGGUUUUCAAGUUUCGGACUGAAAAUUAUUCCAAAAAUAUUAAUAUUUCUCAUUGCAUAGACUCCUACAACAUUUGUUAAGAAUCUUGGAUUAUUAUAACAAUAUAUAAGUUGCUCAUUGUUAUCAUUUGACUGUUAAUAAUUUCAGUUACUUUCACAUGAUUUCAAAAGAUAAAAUGAUGCCAAUCUUCAGAAUCUUGAAUGAUAAGAUAAAUCAUGUGUAUAUGUACAAUGAUCGUAUAUGCGACUCUAUAUUUUUUUUUUUGACAUCAAACACCAUGCUUUUAUUAAUUCAAGUGAAAAAGUUAGCCUUUGAAACCAAUCUCGCCCGAAUCAAAGAGUUUACAUGGGAGAAGAUAAAAUUUUGUAAUGCAUCUUUUCAAGAAGAUCAGCUCUUACAGGUAGAUAAGAAAAUUCAAAAACAGUAAAGGAGGGUAGCAAAUGGAUAAAUUCAUUCCAUUCCGAAGCCAUAGAAAGCCAAUCUUCUACGUUAAUCAGCUUUAUAAGUUGAAGACAGUCCGAUUCAAAAGACAUUGAUGUAUAUCCUAGCUGCAAGGAGCUUCUCAUUGCACAAAGCAAGUAAUUAAACUCCACAUGCAUAGGGGAGAGAACUUGUUCCAUCCCGAUGGAACCGUACAGAUGGGUAUAAUUUUGACCAGUAACUUAAUGGUUUGUGUUCAAGUCCACGUCCGUGUUCAAAUCGGCAUAAUUACGCAUUUCGUCAACGAAAGAACUCAUAAGAGAUUUAAUUACAGUAUCUUAGAAGGUAGAACUAGUUCCGGACAGCAACUAAGUUCGAUCCGCAACUGGUUUACGCUUACGUAUGAUUACUUAGGACCCUAAUAAGGAAAAAUGAAGCUGAAUAUAAGGAAAAUCUCAAACAUGUGAUAAAAGAAGCUUUGAGACGCACGGAACCCUAACACGACACAUAAAUUGCAUGUCCAAGUGUAGUGGAAAAUAUAUACAUCUUUCUCUUUUUUUUUUGUAUAAACACCCAUGCAAAAUAUUAUCACUAGUAGAAUUCCAUCUUAAUUCUUUUUUUUUUGUUAGAGAAGCUUUUCCUUUUUUCAGAGAUUGAUAGCUAUAGAGCUAUGAAACAAUAUUGGCUGCUUCGAUAUGUUUUCUUUCUCUUAUCAUCAUUUUGUAUCUUUUUCGUGACGACGACCCAUUCCCAAGUGAUCCACAACCGACGACUGCGGCCAUGGCUAACACAAGAAUCUGGUCCAGGCUCACCACCUAAUCCGCCACCACAGAACCAAACUACACCGGCACUGUUUUACUUUGGUGAUUCGAUCAUCGACACGGGAAAUAAUAAUAAUCUAACAACAGAAAUGAAAUGUAAUUUUAGUCCCUAUGGCAUGAACUUUCCUACGGGAGUUGCCACCGGUAGAUUCAGCAACGGAAGGGUCGCAUCUGACUAUAUAUGUUCGUCCUCUCUCUCUUUUUUUCCUUUUCUUUUGGGCCGGAGGUGACAUUUAUUACCGUUAAUAUGUGACAUUUAUUAGUUCAUUUAGAAGAUAAUACAUUUGUUAUUUUUUUAAGCGAAGAAGACCUUCCAGAAAAAAACAUUUUCCAGAUUCUUCAAUACUAUCUUUGCUCGUAAAACAUCGAAAUAAUAUUUGAGAUAGUGAGGAUAUAUUUGUUAUUUUUUCAGGUCGAUAUAUAUAUAUGAUCAGUUUUUAGGUCCUCUAAUAGCUGUUUGUUGGUAUCAUAAUCCAUGCAGCCCGAUAUUUAGGACUAAAAUCGAUUGUACCGGCAUAUUUGGAACCCAACGUAAAACUAGAAGAACUUCUCACUGGCGUAUCAUUUGCUUCGGGUGGUAGUGGCUAUCACCAUUUAACAGCCAAAAUAUCAGUAAGAUCAAAACAGCCCCCUCUAGAUUUUAAUUUUAUAUAUCUAGCUCUUAGACUAAUGAUCAUUCAUCAAAAUAUAACCAGAGAGUAAGGUCAAUGUUGGAGCAGUUGACAUAUUUCGAACAAUACAUAGCGAGAGCAAAGAGGUUAGAAGAUAAGACUCAUCACUUAUUAGCCAAGGGCUUAGCCAUUGUGGUCGCAGGCAACAACGAUCUGCUUAUUACAUACUAUGGUCAAGGUGCUCAAUCGCUCAUAUACGACAUUCACAACUUUACAUCAAUGAUGGCUAAGUCUGCCGCAAGUUUCGUUACGGUUCGCAGCUUCAUCCAUCCUUUUUCCUAAGCUCAUACUUUCAGUUUCAUCUACCCCAAAUAAUUAAACUGAAAUUUGCUGACAACUAAAAGAACCCAAGUUAAUAAGAAUUUGACCCUAAGAGAAGGAGUUUGCAAAAUUACCAGGUUUUAGGAACAUAGUUAUGCAAUGGUGAGUUUUUUGGACUAUUUUAGAAUCAAAAACUAAUUUAUCAUAGGAUCUGAAACAACAAUUUUUUUUUUAAACUAGUCAAAGUGAUUUCAUCUAGCAAAAACCGAUCUAUUAUUUUAUUCUUAAAAAAACUACAGAAAUCCCACGUUAAUUAUAAUUAUGGGAGUAACUAUUCAAAUAUUAACUUACUGAACUGAUAAUAUGGAUAUAAUUAAGCAGCAAUUACAUGGGUAUGGAGCAAGACAAAUAGCAGUGAUAGGAACACCACCACUUGGAUGUGUACCAUCACAAAGAACCCUAAAGGGAGGUCCUCGUCGAGACUGUGCUCAAGAUCUAAAUUAUGCAUCUCAGCUUUUCAAUGCCAAACUCUUCAUCACGUUGGAUCAAUUGACUCAUGCCCUACCAAAUUCAAAUGUCUUUUACAUCGAUAUCUACUCUCCUUUUAGUGACAUCGCAGUAAACGCACAAGAUUAUGGUAAUUUUAGACCGCACACGACUUCUUAGACUUACAAAAACGAAUUUUAUAGUAACAUGUAUAUAUAUAUAUAUUGAAUUGGGAUAUUAAUGUUUCAGGGUUUGAGGAAAUAACGAAAGGAUGUUGUGGAACUGGACUUGUGGAAGCAGGUAUACUCUGCAAUCGAUUCACGACAGACGUGUGCUCCAAUGUAUCUGCUUACGUGUUUUGGGAUAGUUUCCAUCCUACCCAAAGAUUCUAUAAAAUUGUAGCCAAAAAACUAAUUGAGAGAUACAUCCACCAUUUGAAAUAAAAUGUAAUACCGUAUGCUUUUCGUUAUGCUCACGCAAUUAUAGCUAGAUGUAUAAAGUCAUUGUAAGACACUCUGGUGGUGUAAAUUGACGCUAUUAGAAAAUUUCAUCACUGUUCACAUGGUUUAUAGAAAUCUCAUCAGUGAUGAGCCAAGUUGUAGAAGUAUAACCCGUUUCUUUAAAUCUUUUUCAUUAGUUAUUGUUUUGUUAUCAAUGUCGAGGAAGAUAAUGUAAGGUUAAAGAAGUCAUGAUUAAAUUAGUAGACUGGUGCUAGCACCGAUGGCAUACUGCAAGGUAGGCCAAUGCAUUUUAACCUGGACCCAAAAGCCCGAACUGGAACCGACCAAAAAAUAUCCGAUCCGGAACCAAACCGAAAAUUUACAAAUACUUUUUGCGUCUAAUUUUUUUUUACCCAAAAGAACCGGAAUCGUUAGGAACCGACCCGAAUAGACCCGGAUCCGAAAAAAACCGAUCCGAAUAGACCCGAUCUGAUAAGAACCAAUUUGUACCCGACUUAAAAACAUGUAUAUCCAAAACUAUAAUUUUUUUGUGUUCUAUUUUAUAUAUAUUACUAGAUUUUAUACUCGCGCUACGCGCCAGUCUAUAUUAAUAAUUUAGUUUAGUUUUAUAAUAACUUUUAAGCUAACAAUUUAAUUGAUUUAUAUAAUUUUCUUAUUUGAAAUAUGAUUAGUUGAUUUUAAUAUUUAUGUUUAUUUAUAAUUGUACCAUGUUAUUAUCUAUUUAGUUAUUUGUAUUUAUAGAUGCAAUAAUUAUGUUUAUAAACAUACAAGAUAUGAGCCCGUUGCAUUGCAACUGGUUUUGUUUGAUGUUUUAAUUUAAUGAUUGUUUUUUGCAUACAUUUAUAUUUUUAUGAUUGUUUUUUUACAUACAUUGUUUGAGAUUUAUUUUAUAAUUAAACCCGUUUUUACACAUAAGUUCAAGUUAAUAUUUGUAUUUUGUAAUCAUGGUGCAUAGAUGAAUUGUUAUAAACUUUGUACUUAGAAUUAGAGAAAAUACUAUACCUAAACGUUUAAACUGAACACACUUGAAAUAAGAAAUUGAAUGAAAAGUAAAAAAAAAUGGAAGUCAAAUAUAUCAAUCGAGUCAAUGACAACAUUAUACGUGUUCUUAUGUAUUAAUUUAAUAUUUUAUUAAAUAAGUAUUAAAAAUUUUAUUUUGUUAGGAUUUUUUUUUAAAAUAAAAACAUUCUAUUUUAUAAUUCUCCUUUUUAUUUACAGUUAAAAUUACUGUCAUAUAACCUAUUAUAAUUAUCUUCUCUAUAGAAUUUCAGAAAAAAAUAAAUUGCUAUCAAAUAAUUAUUUUUAGUUAUUAAUACUCUAUUUUAUUAACUAUUUUUACAAUUCAUAUCAAUACUAAAUUUACACUUCUUUUGUUAAUUAAAUAAUUUUUAUUAUCAUCUUCAUCAUCAAAUACUCUUUUAAAAAUAUUAUCAAAUAAAUUUUACAAUUCUCUUUUGGUUAGGAAAAAAAAAUAUUAUACAAUUUUUUUUGUUUAUGAAUUUUUUAUAUAAAAAAGGAAAACAACUAUCAAAUAUUCUUUUACAGUUUUUUUGGAUUUUAGAAAAGAAAAUUAAUAUUACAUAAUCUUUUACAAUUAUAUUUUGUCUAUGAUUUAGAAAAAUAAAAUUUAUAUCAAAUAGAUAUUUCCAGUUAAUAUUAACUAUUUUUAAAAGUUGCCAUUUUCAAAAUUCGCUUUUUUCAAUAUCACUAAUAUUUUUACAAUUUUUCUUGUUAAUUAAAUAGUUUUUGCUAUCACACUUAUCGUCAAUUUUCUUAAGUACAAAGUACUAUUAAGUAAAACUUUACAAUUUUUCUCUUGUCAGAAUUUAAAAAGAAAAAGAAAAAAAAAUCUUAGCUUGUUAAGAUUAGAAAAAAAAAAUUUAGAAAUCUUUUUUUAUUAAGGAUUUUAGGAAAAGAAAAAGUUAUUUUCACAUAAUAGCAGUUUUUAUUGAUACAUUCACAAUCUAAUUUUUUUUAAUAGGCGAGAGUUCCUGAGGCAGAGAAGAGGAGUAUCUUGAGAAAUUUCAAAUUUGAUGAUGGUGAACUUCCUGUGCGAUAUCUGGGACUUCCCCUCAUGACGCAAAGGAUGAAGAAGCAAGACUAUACUCCUCUUUUGGAGAAGAUACGAGGUAAAAUAAGCUCCUGGACUUGUCGGUUUCUGUCGUAUGCUGGAAGACUCCAAUUGAUAACUUAUGUCCUUACUAGCAUAGUUAAUUUUUGGGCGACGGUGUUUAGAUUGCCUUGUAGUUGUAUCACAGAAGUUGAACAAAUAUGUUCAGCGUUUCUAUGGACGGGGCCAAUCCUUAAAUCUACUAAUGCUAAGGUUGCUUGGACAGAAGUAUGGUUCCCUAAGAGAGAAGGAGGUUUGGGGAUCAGAAGCUUGAAAGAAGUUAAUAAAGUUUAUGGUCUUAAGCUGAUAUGGAGAAUGCUAACAGGAUCAUCUCUCUGGGGGAAGUGGAUUAGAGUAAAUUUGCUAAAAGGAAGAAGUUUUUGGGAAGUCAACUUGAAGAUGCAGACUGGUUCUUGGAUGUGGCAUAAAAUGCUUAAGUUGAGAAGUGUUGCAAAGCUGUUUUACAAGGUCGAAGUAGGUAAUGGGAGGCAUACUUCUUUCUGGUAUGAUAAUUGGUCUAGGCAAGGAGUUCUCGUAGACUUAUUGGGUGCUAGAGGUUUCAUUGAUAUGGGAGUGAGAAAGAAUGCAACGGUAGAGGAUGCUGUGUUAUAUGGUAGAAGGAGAAGAAGACAUAGGCUAAGCAUUCUAAACGAUAUUGAGGACAAACUGGAUACCAUCAGAAGUAAUCCAAGUCUUGAAGGGAUUGACAGGAGUCUAUGGAGGAGAGAUUCGGCUUACAAGUUGGAGUUUUCUACUCAGGAAACUUGAAGUUUUUGAGAGACAAGAAACCUCUAUGUAGCUGGGCGCCUGGUAUCUGGUUUUCGCAAGCGACUCCGAAGUUUGCGUUUAUGGCGGGGCUCUCUGUUCGUGAUAGGAUGUCGACCAUGGACAGAGUGGUGAAGUGGAGUAGGGGGAGUAAUGAUAUGUGUGUUCUCUGUCAUAAUGCUCAGGAAUCGAGGAACCAUCUGUUCUUUGAGUGUGAUUUAUCUGCUCAGGUAUGGGAAUUCAUAGCCAAAGGAUUGUUGCGCCAGUCUUUCACUGUAGUUUGGUCAGAGAUAAUAAUCAUUAUAUCUGAUAAAACUAGAAAGAAGAAUAGUUUACUUUGUAUCAGAUACGUCUUCCAAGCUGUUCUAUAUGCUUUGUGGAGAGAAAGGAAUAAGCUGAAGCAUGGAGAGAAGAUGAUGCCUUUACCAGCUUUAAAAAAGGUGAUUGAGAAGGGAAUGAGAAAUAAAAUUACGUUGGUGCAGAAAAAAGGAGGGAGAGGAAUGGAGAUGCUAAUGCAAUUUUGGUUUCAAACAAGAAUGUAAUUAGUUUAUAGUCUUAUCUUUUGAGUUCUAGUAUGCAAUUUACUUUGCAAAAAAGUAUGCACUAGUUGUAAUAAGGCUUUUUUGGUGAAUAAAUUUAACAUUCAUUCAAAAAAAAAGUUAAUUUUGGUUUAUAUUUUUUUAACGCAAAAUUAUUAAAAAGUAAAGUUAGUUAAUUAUAAAAAAUAAUAUUAUUUUUACAUUUUUAUUUUAUUUAGACUUUUAAAAAUGAAAUUACUUAUCUUGACCGCAACUUCUUUCCCUUCUUUCAUCCUACCAUAGUAAACAUACCCAAAGCUUCCUUUUCCAACUCUCUUGGAGAAAUUAUCAGUGGCCUCUUCAAGGAUAGGAAGGGAUAUGAAAUAUGCUACACCUUCAUCUAACAAAUGUCCGUCCCUCACAGCUGAAUAAGCUGCCAAACCUUUUUUCUUAGUCCCCGUGGAGUUACCUGAAAGAAACAUGAGUAAGACAACAACCCUCCAGGGCCGUGCCUGAGAAUUUUAGGUCCUAAAACCCAAUUAUUAAUUUGGCCCCUCCAAAACUAUGAGAAUUUAAAAUGUUAAGGUGAAGAAUCGAACUGGGCACCUUAUAUACUUCUAAUAAGUAUAUUACCAACCUAGCCACUUAGUUAUUUCUGUUAGGAUUUGGCCUCUAAUAUUUAUAUAAUUUUUCAAGGCCACAAGCAUAUGCUUGAUUGGCUUUUACUCAGGCACAGCCUGCACCGUGCCUAUUAGACCCUAAAAUAUAUAUACCUUUAUCAGCACUUUUCUUCUUCCUGAGAACACAAAGUAGAACAAGACGUCCUCCAGCUAGCAGCAAGAGAACUGCGACAGCUGCUAUUGAUAGAGUACUCAUUGUAAUCUUGAGAUUUUUUUAAAUGUUAUAAGUUUGUAAAUUUGUAUGUUUUUAGUUUGUUGAUGAUAAAUUCAUAUUGAUUAUUUCUUCUAUUAUUCUUUUAUGUUCUAAUUUGUUGAUGGCCAUCCUUAUAAAUUUUAUUUAAAAUCUUAACUAACUUAUUUGACAUUCUUUUUUAGACUCUUUAUUUUUUUAUCUAACUUGUAAACAUUGUUCUCUAAAUAUUUUCUUCAACAUAACUCAACAAGGAGCAUCUUAAACUUUAUAUGUUGUAUGAGGUGAAUCAUGGUACUGAUUAUAAGAAUUCAUCAUUUAGUUUGCUUUAAUACCAAUAAUUUUUUAAAAAGCUUAUAGAUCACAUCAUGUUCGAUUUAUUUCAGUAUAGCUUAUUUGUUUAGUUUCUAUGAAAAUUUUGACUGUAACCGAUUAAAAGAAUAUUUGUAAAAACAUAAAAUAAUAGUGUUGAUUAAUAUUUAAAAUUUUAAUGGAUAAAUAAAUUCGUCAGUUUUUUGAUCGAUUAAAAAUAAUUUGAAACUCAUAAAUAAAUUGUGUCUUGCGACUCUCUCUCUAUUCUCUUACUUAACAUCUUUCAGAGAGAACGAAUGGAAAUUUCAAAUCUUUUUUCUUAUAUUGGAAUUAUCCUCUACUCUAUCCGAUUUUUUGGUGUGAUACAUUUUUUCGUCUAUUGGAUUUUAUCUUCGGCUUUGUAUGUCUACUUUACGUCGCAGAUGUUUUACAUUUUUCUUUAUACUAAUCUUGUUUACUGUUAUUGUUCAUUCACUUCAAAUCCUAUAUUCUUGACGCGUUCCUUGUUCAUGAAGAAUAUAUUUGGUUUUUUUAUUUGGAUAUUAUUAAUAGAAAACACAUUUGAUACUGAUUUAUAAUUUAUUUUUUUAAAAACACUUUUUAAAAUUUUAUUUUGAAGAGUAAAUUUUAUUUUGUGUUCUUGGAAGGAAAAAUAUUGUAUAUUGUAUAUUUUAUAUUAUUUUUGGUUAAUUUGUUUCUGAAAAUUCCAAAUAUUUAUAUAUAAAUAUGUAUAUAUAUCCAUGAAUCAAUUUAGUUUUAAUGAUUUAUUUAAUAGUUUACCUUAUUUGAUGUUGAAUUCCAUUUUGUAUUAUCAAUUUUGGAAAUUUAACAUUUUAAAAAUAGUAAACAAUCAUAGUUUGAUUGUUUUGUUUUCUAAUACUAUGUGUAUACUCUUAAUGACUUAUAGCUUUAUAUAGAUUAUACGUUAUUUUUGAAUAUUUUCAAUAGUAUAUAGCCUAAACUUUAAAAACCAUGAGUUAAAUUAAUUUACUUAUAAUUGUUUGAAAGUCUUGCAUUUUUAAUAUUAAUUCUUCUUUUUUAUUUUAUUUUAAUGUUACAUUUUGAGAAAUAUUAUAUAUUAAGUAAAUUUAUUUAUAAUGUUUUACUUUUGUUAACUUACCUUGUUUUAUUUGGUUUUUAUUUUAAUUUAAAUGAUUUUAUGAAAUUUUUUAAAUCCUAAUCAUAAUAUAAUGAAUUGUUUCUCACUGAUUUAUAGUCUUAGCUUAAAUAUAAUGUAUGUUAUUUACCAAUAUUUUCAAUAGCAUAUAUCCUAAAUUUUGAAAAUCAUGAGUUAAAUUUAAGAUUAUAAUUGUUUAAAUUAUUGCAUUUUAAAGUAAUUAUUAUUUUUAGUUAAUUUAUGUUAAAUUUCAAAAUUAAUUAUUAUUAUUAUAUAUAUUAAGUUAAUAUGUGUAUAAUGUUUUUAAUUUUGUUAGUUAGACUUAUUCGAUAUUGAUUUCUUUUUAUUAUGAAAUAAACAGUUUUUGAAAACAUUGACAUAUUUAAAAAUAACAAAUUUAAAUGCUUAUUUGUCAUAAUACGAUUGGUUGUUUUAAAUCUUACGUAAACACAAUCAAUAGCUUAUAGCCUCAACGUUUAUACAGUAGUCUUCGCUUAAUUAUCAUAUUUGUACGAUAUUUUAUGUUAAUUUCAAAAAUAUAUUAUAUAUUAAGUUAACUUAUAUACAAUUCCUUGAUUUUUCUAAGUUUACCAUAUUUUAAUUGAUUUAUAUUUUAUUUUGAAAUACAUGAUUUUUGGUAAUAUUGAAAUUUGUAGAAAUAGUAAUCUAAAAUGCUGAUGUGUCAUAAUACGAUUGGUGGUUUUAAAUUCUAUGUGGACGCUCUCAAUGGCUUAUAGCCUCAGCUUUUAUAUAGUUUAGAUUUUUGAAUAUUUUCAAUAGUAUAUAGCCUAAACUUUGAAAACCAUGAGUUAAAUUAAUUUACUUAUAAUUGUUUGAAAGUCUUGCAUUUUUAAUAUUAAUUCUUCUUUUUUAUUUUAUUUUAAUGUUACAUUUUGAGAAAUAUUAUAUAUUAAGUAAAUUUAUUUAUAAUGUUUUAUUUUUGUUAACUUACCUUGUUUGAUUUGGUUUUUAUUUUAAUUUAAAUGAUUUUAUGAAAUUUUUUAAAUCCUAAUCAUAAUAUAAUGAAUUGUUUCUCACUGAUUUAUAGUCUUAGCUUAUAUAUAAUGUAGGGCUUUUUGCAAAAGUGACUCAAAACUUGAAGUCAAACAGAAAACUAACAUUUUCUUUUGACUCCUUUUUUUUUUGAGAUUUUAACCCCACACCUGCAUUUUAUCUACGAAAAUGCCAUUAACAUUUUUUUUUUUUUUCGAAAAUGGCUUCUUUACUGUCUCAACCUCAUCUUCUUCAAGUAUUUACAAUAUUGCCACUGCAAUGAAUAGUGGCAACAACCUUGUACGAACUGUUUGGAGCUUUUAAUGCCCUUUAAUGCACGUAAAUCUCUUUACACUCUCUCUGUUUCAAUUGUUAUGAACUAAAAACAACAUUUCUUUCACUUUCUCUCUAUAUUCAUCCAAAAAACUCAAGCUUUUGAUUCAAAAUAUGGGCUAUGGUUGACAGAGCCAUAUUUCUUUCGUUUUGACUUACGGUUGCUUUCGUUUGAGGUUCUGGGUGGUUGGAGAAGACCCUGUGUGCAAACGAAGUCAUCUCACCUAGUUUAAGGUACGAAUUUGAAUUUUUUUUCAAGAUCUGUUCGCGUAGAAGACUUACUAGUAAGUCAUCUGUAUGUAGAAGACUUACUGAUGAGUCUUCUGGUCAAACGGACGACUUAAAUUAAGUCGUCCAGCUUUGUUUGUUAAAAAAAACACUCCAGACGACUUAUAUANNNNNNNNNNNNNNNNNNNNNNNNNNNNNNNNNNNNNNNNNNNNNNNNNNNNNNNNNNNNNNNNNNNNNNNNNNNNNNNNNNNNNNNNNNNNNNNNNNNNNNNNNNNNNNNNNNNNNNNNNNNNNNNNNNNNNNNNNNNNNNNNNNNNNNNNNNNNNNNNNNNNNNNNNNNNNNNNNNNNNNNNNNNNNNNNNNNNNNNNNNNNNNNNNNNNNNNNNNNNNNNNNNNNNNNNNNNNNNNNNNNNNNNNNNNNNNNNNNNNNNNNNNNNNNNNNNNNNNNNNNNNNNNNNNNNNNNNNNNNNNNNNNNNNNNNNNNNNNNNNNNNNNNNNNNNNNNNNNNNNNNNNNNNNNNNNNNNNNNNNNNNNNNNNNNNNNNNNNNNNNNNNNNNNNNNNNNNNNNNNNNNNNNNNNNNNNNNNNNNNNNNNNNNNNNNNNNNNNNNNNNNNNNNNNNNNNNNNNNNNNNNNNNNNNNNNNNNNNNNNNNNNNNNNNNNNNNNNNNNNNNNNNNNNNNNNNNNNNNNNNNNNNNNNNNNNNNNNNNNNNNNNNNNNNNNNNNNNNNNNNNNNNNNNNNNNNNNNNNNNNNNNNNGGGAGACCGAAUCGCUCAGCGGAGACACUGUACUCCGAAGUAUGUAGGUAGUCUUUUCAUUGAUCGUGUUGGAAUCAUUGAUGGGAUAACUCCGCAGCAUAUCACUGAUGCAAUGAGGAACAUGUUUGGCAUGGCGCUUGAUUACACCACUUCAUACAGAGCACUGUUAUAUGCACAAAGAUUGGUGAGAGGAUCAGCAGAAGAAGGGUAUUCGCGUCUGGCAUCAUAUCUCGAGCAAAUCUCCAUAGCAAAUCUCCACUGCAAAUCCUGAUUCUAUGACGGCGAUAGAACUUGAUUCUAUGAAAAGAUUUAAGUAUCUAUUUCUCUCUUUUGGAGCUUCUAUCAAAGGUUUUAAGUAUCAGAGAAGGGUCAUUGUGGUGGAUGGAACUCACCUAAGUGGAAAGUAUGGAGGAACUAUGUUAGUUGCAGCCGCACAAGAUGGCAAUUUUCAGAUAUUCCCAUUGGCUUUUGGGAUCGUGGAUGAGGAAGAUAUACCUUCUUGGGAAUGGUUUUUCACAAAAUUGGCUAGUUGUAUAUCUCAUGACAAGCCUCUGGUGAUAGUCUCCGACCGGCACAAGGCCAUUAAAAGUGCGUGUGAUAAGGUGUUUCCUUGGGCAACCCGAGGAAUAUGUUAUUAUCACCUUCAAGAUAACAUUGUCAAAAAGUAUAAAGGGAAACAUCUCUUGUACUUGGUGAAAGNNNNNNNNNNNNNNNNNNNNNNNNNNNNNNNGUUUUAAUAUCCUCUUUGGUCAACCCACCAACAGUCGUAGUCACCUCUUCACUAGCCUCUGCAGCUGCCUCUUCACUAGCUUCAGCAGGUGCCUCUUUACGAGCUUUCUUCCGAGGUCUUGGACUGUCUUCCUUCACUACCUUUUUCUUCGCUGGACUCACAACCGCCGGCUUUGUAUUGACCCAAGUACCGGUGACUUCCCAGCAAUCCAUGGUCAACUUCCACGGUUUCUUCACAGACAUGAGUUUAAUUAUGUUCUCCACGAGCGUGUCCUCAACAUCAAACUCCCAUUUUGAAAACAUUUCACCAGUGUCCUUUUGAACAAAGUUGAUCACCCUAGUCUGCAGUAAAUAGAAGAUAUGAACUUAGAUAUUUGACGGAUUAAGAAAGAUGGAAAGAAAAGACUUCACAGACGACUUAUAAUUAAGUCGUCUGGAAAGUCUUCCAGCUGGACGACUUAGUAGACGACUUAUAAUUAAGUCAUCUGGAAAGUCUUCAAGCUGAAAGACUUAGUAGAAGACUUAUAAUUAAGUAGUUUGGAUAGUCUUCCCAGACGACUUAAUUAUAAGGCUUCUACAAAGUCAUCCAGCUGGAAGACUUUCCAGACGACUUAAAUAUAAGUCUUCUACUAAGUCGUCUAAUUGGAAGACUUAUCAGACGACUUAAUUAUAAGUUUUCUGCGAGUGAGGAUUACAGUGUUUAUGGAAAGGUUGAAGAUGAGGAUGAGGAAGAUGAUGAUAUGUGUUUUGAAGAUAUCGAAAAGAUUGAAGGAGGAAGAUCGAAUGGUAACAGUAUCUAUGUCAACCAGAGUUUUGUUAGCAAGGAUGCACUGCUUUCAGAGCUGCGGUUGACAGCAGUGAGGUUUAAGUUCUCCUUCAGAAUAUACAAGUCAACGAAAACUCUCCUUGUGACAACAUGUCCGGUUAGUGGUUGUCAAUGGAAGGUCAGAGCUUCAAGUUAGUCGUUCAGUGAUUAGUCUUCCAGAAGACCUUCAAUUAAGUCGUCCAGAAGGUCGUCCAGUUAGUCAUCCAGAAGGUCGUCCAGUUAGUCGUCCAGGGGUUUUUCUUCCAGAAGACCUUCAAGUUAGUCGUCCAGUGUUCAGUCUAUGUACUAAAAAUUUGUGUUAUGAACUUAUCUGUGUCAACUUCUUUGUCAAAUUGCACUACCAAACAAAUUUGAGAUGGUCUUGCCCUUUAUAUUAUCCGAAAUAUAGUUACAAAAGGUCACUGCUCAGAAGACUUUCCAGACUACUUAUAGUUAAGUCGUCCAACAUUCCAGACGACUUAACUGUAAGUCUUCUGCGCAGAAUAUAGUUACAAAAUAGAGAUCAAGUUCAAAUACAAAAUAGGGAUCAAGUUCAAAUACACACAUCAGCCUAAUCUAUCAUACAAAAUAAUCUAAAGUGGCAUGUUUAUCACCCGUCAUAUGCACCCAAGAUGUCAUCCAUGUCCUUGUUUUCGAGCUCAUGCGCGUUAGGAAGCUCUUGAAAUAUAUCCACCGUCAUCUUAUCCCUCAUACUCUUCCCGUUGGGCUUAGCAAAGUCUUUUUUACUAAACUCUAUCCCAAGAGCAUGACAUUCAAUGUACUUUAGAGUGUACACGCCACAAUCACCAGCUCGGGCCGGAGGUAUAUUGGUCGGUCUCUCAUAUGUGAAUGGCUCCAGGCUGUAUUGGGCACGUAGUUCGUCUGAGGAAGCGCACUCAACAAGCAGAUAAGGGACCAUGUAGAGAAAAGGCUCCAUUACCACAUCGAGUUCUUCUGGGGAGAUACUGGAACAAAUGCUGUCAAAGACGACUAUGUGCCUCUUAGGGAUCGAUAUCCACAUAGCAAUCCAAUGACUGUCGGCGAAGUUUACUGGCGCAUAGAUAUCAUCAAUAUCCGUCCCCCAAACCUUGUUCGAUUGGCAAAAUGAUGGUAUAGUGCCUGCAUAAUAAUUCCACGCCCCACCAGGGAGUCUUCUUCCUAAACCGUUGUGAUCGGGCUUCGAGUCCUUAAAAUCCUUGAAGUUGAAUCUCCAUUGCUGAGCAAAGAGAUGAUCAAGGAAGCACAUUCUCUCGCUCCUGAAAUGUUGUGGGUUAGCGUCGUACCUCUUCCUCAGCACAUUAAUCCAAGCAUCAAUAUGCUGCAUAUAAAAUAGAGUACAAGUCAGAAGAUAUCAGACGACUUAGUGGUAAGUCGUCUACGUAGAAGACUUACCAGACGACUUACAAGUAAGUCGUAGACGAAUUAAGUCGUCUGAUAAGUCGUCUACGUAGAAGACUUACCAGACGACUUACAAGUAAGUCGUCUACGUCAUAGCAGAAGACUUACACAGUCCUCCAGCCACUCUAGGAAGGUUUGGAGGAUUUGAUACCACCAAGUUCUACUUUUACGUUGUUUUUUAUCGAGAGUUGUUCUAUAAUGACUGCAAACACAAAAUGUUGAAAAGCAAUCAGGUUUUAUGGGAAAAGCAAGCUAUUAUGUGAAAAGCAAGCUAUUAUGGGAAAAGCAAACACUUACGGACAAGUUUUCAACCAAUCAGCGAGCUCCCUCAACUUCUUCUUGUCAAUUGGUGCAAAAGGAUUAUAGCCUGGAUAAAGCUUUCUGUUUGAAAUGAUCACUCUGGCCGUUCUGUUUGCCGUAUAAGGAGAUUUCUGUGAGGCAGCAAGUUUCCUUGUUCGAUCACUCUUUGCACGGCAAAGUGCCAAAGCAGCAUCCCUCUUUUCUAGAUAUCUAGCAUCCUCCUUCUGUAAAUCUGAAACAGUGGAUUGAUUUUUGUCCAAUAGAACAAGGCUCGGUUCUGGAGCUUUAUCUUCCGAGGAACUCGCAUCUGCGGGCACAUCUGCGGGCACAUCUGCGGGCACAUCUGGACCUUUAUCCUCCGCCAAGCUCUUCCUUCCCGCGUUCGUCCCAUUGACACUUUCACUCUGCAAUAUACAAGAUGGGUUUAUACAAUAAUAACCAAAGAUCCAUUUCAAACAAUAAUAACCAAUGAGUGUCUUCAAACAUGAAACAAAAUACAUAUAUAAAAUCCAUACACUAUAAACAAAGCACACAUGUUCUGACAUACAAGAAACAAAGCAAAUGCAACUUUUCAGUUCUUAUUCUUAAGACUUUGUCUAGUCAAUCUCUUGUUGUGAGAGGAUUCGUUACUAACCCCGGGUUCGAGCGUCGGUUUAGGUGGAGAGGUAGUGUUUUGAGAUGAUGUCCCUUUCCGUUUUGUGGUGAUACCAACCUUCUUCUCCACAGCUUCCACCCUUUCCGACAGAUACUUGAUCUCCUUAAGGCACGUCCCAAACCCUUCCCUCAUGGCAUCAGCUAUGUCCUUGAACAUGGUUUUAAUAUCCUCUUUGGUCAACCCACCAACAGUCGUAGUCACCUCUUCACUAGCCUCUGCAGCUGCCUCUUCACUAGCCUCUGCAGCUGCCUCUUCACUAGCUUCAGCAGGUGCCUCUUUACGAGCUUUCUUCCGAGGUCUUGGACUGUCUUCCUUCACUACCUUUUUCUUCGCUGGACUCACAACCGCCGGCUUUGUAUUGACCCAAGUACCGGUGACUUCCCAGCAAUCCAUGGUCCACUUCCACGGUUUCUUCACAAACAUGAGUUUAAUUAUGUUCUCCGCGGGCGUGUCCUCAACAUCAAACUCCCAUUUUGGAAACAUUUCACCAAUGUCCUUCUGAACAAAGUUGAUCACCCUAGUCUGCAGUAAAUAGAAGAUAUGAACUUAGAUAUUUGACGGAUUAAGAAAGAUGGAAAGAAAAGACUUCACAGACGACUUAUAAUUAAGUCGUCUGGAAAGUCUUCCAGCUGGACGACUUAGUAGACGACUUAUAAUUAAGUCGUCUGGAAAGUCUUCCAGCUGGAUGACUUAGUAGAAGACUUAUAAUUAAGUAGUCUGGAUAGUCUUCCCAGACGACUUAAUUAUAAGGCUUCUACUAAGUCAUCCAGCUGGAAGACUUUCCAGACGACUUAAUUAUAAGUCUUCUACUAAGUCGUCUAAUUGGAAGACUUAUCAGACGACUUAAUUAUAAGUUUUCUGCGAAGUCGUCCAGAUUGAAGUAAAUACCUGACUGAGGAUAGCCUCUUUAAACUGUCUGCGUCCUUUGCGACCCUUGUAAGCCAGUAUCGGUGGAGACGGAUUGUUUGGGAGAGGAUUACCAAAAGUAGCACCCAAUUCCGGAAGAGCUGUGUACACCCAGACCUGGAGAGCUUGCGCAAACCCAUUAAUAGUGUAACAACCCGAAAUAUCUCUGCCCUUCACAGAGUCCAUCAGCACCUUAAACGCGACUCUCCCCCAUGGAUAAUUCUCAAACCGUUCUAGCUCCAUCACUAGCCUUGCCAGACUAACCCGUGUAGGGGUUGAAUACUUUCUCCCUUCAAUGUAUCCAGUGAAGAUGGCAAGGUACGCGAGCCGCUUGCGAUCAUCCCGAGACCACCCUUCGCAUCUCUCAAGUGCUGCUAUUAUCUCCUGAGUAGAUGGCCCAGCUUCGACAUGAACUCCCAACAUCUCCCAAAAAGAAGUCAACUCCUUUGUAACAACACAGUGAGGUCUCUCAAGGUCCUCGAUGUACUCGCAGUUUAGACCAGUGAGGUUUUCAAACUCUAACAGUGAAAACCUCACAGGUUCUGGACCAACGAGACUCCACAGCUCAUACUUCUUCUUUAUGUCCAGCUGGAAACCGAGCAUGUAGUGAACCAGCCUUGAAGCCCAAUCAAAUCCCAGCUCUUGGAACUUGAUGAAAACUCCCAACUUCGACUCCUUCAGCUCUUCAUAUUCGUCAUCAUGAAGAGCUUUCUUUAAAGCAGCAUGCAACGUCCAACAAGUAUGAUACGAAAUGCUAUGCACUGCGGGGGGCUCUUCCCCUAAUGUAUAUAUCCUACGGGGGAGUUCUGGCAUCUCCAUUUUUUUUGCCUGCAAAACAAUCAAAGACAACCAUCUCAAACAAUCAAAGACUUAUAAUUAAGUCGUCUGGCAAGUUUUCCAGCUGAAAGACUUAUAAUUAAGUCGUCUGGAAAGUCUUCCAGCUGGAAGACUUUCCAGACGACUUAAUUAUAAGUCUUCCAAGACUUCCAGUUUUAUGUUCAUCUUUUCCUCAAUCAAUCACUCGACAGUAAGAGAUAUAACUUACCGGCGGCGGAGUUCAACGAGACGCCUCUGAGAGAAUGCGCGCUAGGGUUUCCUCUCGGAUCUUAAAUAGAGGAAGCGGCUGUGAGAACGGUGGUGAGAACGACGGUGAUAACGGUGGAGAGAUAACCGGCGGUGAGAACGAUGAGAACGAUGGAUUAGAAAGAAUCAACGGAAAUCGCCUUCGAAAUCGCCUUUGAGAGAAACGGCUUUAGGGUUUUCUGAUUUUCGAUAAACAGUGAAAAAGAAAACACCUUAUAUAUGGCCGGUAAAUAAUCCGGUUAGGUUUAAAAGUACAUUGUAAAAUUAAAGGCUUGGUCCGGUUUGGACGACUUACUAGUAAGUCGUCUGUUGAAUACUGUACAUCAGACGACUUACUAGUAAGUCGUCCCAGACCCUAAAUUUAACCCCUAAACUAAAUUGACUAAAUUAACUAACUAACCACGUUAUAAACCCGUAGUUAUACUUAAAUAGUGUUUACUAUACACAGAAAUAAAAACACUUAGGUAAAUUUUAAAGUUUUCAAAAAAACAUUUAUGCAUUCCAAAAUCUAACCCUAAGAACACAUACAAUACUACAACAUAUGUUGGCAAAACCUAAACCAAAGAAUAUCAUGACUCACUACUUUCACUCAUCUAUGUUGAAAACAAUUAACUUUUGUUAUAUCUUAAUUUAUAUCUCUUAAAACAUAUGUUAAUUACAUGAUUUCAAUUUUUCACUUAUCAAAAUAUUUUUUACAAAAUGUUUAAAUUAUUUCUAAGUAAAACUAGUCCAGGCGACUUACGGGGGUUAGAAACGUAAAAAAAUUUCGGUUUUUUGUUUGUUCACAAGAGGUUGGUUGUAAUUUCAAUAGCCUUUUAAGUUACUUUUGCAUUUGAUUCAAGUUUGGGUUAACCUUUGCGUUUGAAAUCGAGUUGUGAGUCAUAUUUGGCAAUUUUCCCCUACUAUAAACCACACACGUUUUCAUAUUUUUUUCUUUUUUCGUCACACUUCAAAAGAAAAUGAUACUCCAAUUGUCACGAUUUACAUUUUAACACAAUUGAAAACGUGUUAAUAUAGUACGAGGCAGAAAAAGAAAAAGAAGAAAUAAUUUCGAAGCCUUUAUGGAAGGGAAGGAUAGAAACUAACAGUUUUAUGUACUUCUGUGUACCUAACUAAUAUUGUUGAACUAUAUGUUCGUCAUUUGUUCUUAUCUUCCGAUGUUAUUUAAAUUUAUAUUCAAGAGAUAUUUGAAUUUAUUAACACACAUGACAUCAGAAAAGAAUCUAAUAUGAAAGAGCGAAAAACAAUUGAAGAGAUCAUAAGCUAAUUUUAUUCUCAAUUAAGAAUAUGGAUCUUUAUGCAUUAAUAUAUGAAAUCCUCUAAUCAAUGAUAUCACACAUGUAUCUCUAACUAGCUUAGGAAUCUACAAUACACACGUGACAUGCUGACUUUGAAGGUUUAUAGUCAUCAGAUCAUCCACAAGUAAGAAGACUCAAGCAAGAUGAAAGGAAGUUAACCUUUCGUAGAGUCUAAAUGUCUUAGAUACUAUGUUUGAGUCUAAGGGUUUGUAACACAUUAGUCGGUUAGUACAUGUGUCCUCCUCUCACAGGCUGACUGCUUUUAAGCACGUGUAAAUAGCUGAGUUAUAAAGCUAUAAGUCUGAGUCUUGAGCUGAUUAGAGAUGACUUAGGGUUCAUGUUAUCAGCCAAGAUCGUCAGCGAGAUACAUGAAGAACGAUUGUACAAGGAGCUCGGCUGAGAGCAAGAUUAGAGUGUUGCUGCUUCAAUCCCAGCUCUGGUGAGCUAUAGCUGUCCUUCCUUGUUAACAUCGGGUCAACAGUUACUUGUGUUUGUGUCGAUUUCAAGUUCGAUAGAUCAAGAUUAGGUUUCUAUCUUCACAAAUUGGUAUUAGAGCGCCAGGUUUUGGUGUGAUUAACUAUCAAUCUAAGACGAAAUCAAUUCGUAUCAAAAUGUCAAGUCAUCAAAUCAUGAUGACGAUGUUCGACGGUAUCAGAGACUUCGGAAUCUGGAAGAAACAGAUGUACACAAAUCUCAGCAUACAAGGUCUUAAGAAAGUGCUAACGGAAUCGAUAAAGAAAGAGGAGGUAACAGAUAAAAAUGAUGAAGAAACAAACAUCAAGAAAAAGAAAGAAGCAUAAGAAACGACGAGGAUGGAACGAGAUGAGAAAGCCAUGAAUAUAAUAUUCAUGAGCAUCAGUGAUCAAGUAUUAAGGAAGAUCGAUAAGUGUGUCACAGCAGCACAAACAUGGGCAUUACUCCAUCGGUUAUACAUGACGCAAAGCUUGCCAAAUUGUGUUCAUGCGCAACUAAAGGUGUACUCUUUCAAGAUGCAAGGCUCAAGAUCAAUAGACCAGAACACAGACGAAUUUCUAAAGAUGAUUAAGAAUUUUAGAAACUUGGCAUAAAGAUUCCAGAGGAUAUUCAAGCGAUUCUACUACUCAACGCUCUCCCAGCCAAGUAUGAUUCUCUUAAAGAAACCUUGAAAUAUGGUUGUGAUGCUAUAAAGGUAGAAGAGGUUGCUAGUGCUACUAGAUCUAAGGAACUGGAAUUUAAAGAUGCUUUUAGCUCUAGGUCUGGUGGGGAGGGUCAUUUUUUGAGGGAUAUAUCGGAUACUAGGACUGUAAGUUUUGGGAAGAAUAAGGACAUGUCCAGAUCAAAAUCUAAGAACGAAACGAGUGUGUUGGAUCUGCAGCAAAGAAGGACAUUUCAAGAAAUAAUGUUCCAAGUGGACUGAAAGAAACAAAGGAAGGUCAUCAUCAUAUGAUAAAGGAUAAGCUGCUGAAGUAAGAGACAAUGCAAAGAAUCUGAUUACACCGAGUGGGUGCUGGAUCACUACAAGAUAUAUGGAUUUCAAUAGCAGUAGAGGAUAGCGUUUUUUGCCUUUCUAGUAUGGUUUACAUACGCUUUAGUUUUAGAUAGCGUUUCUACAUUUCGAAACGCUAUGAUAAAGUAGUAUAUUUAAAAACGCGAUAAUAGUGUAUGGUUUUAACGUAACACUUAUUUUUAAUAGAAAAACAUAAUUAAAAACGCUAUGUUUGGCUAUUUGAAACCUUAAACUCUUAACAUAUUUUAAACCCUAAACUCUAAACACAAACCUAAAACUCAAAUAUUUUCCUAUUCUAAUCUUUAAUCUUAAGUUUAAAUUCAAAUUUUAAUAUUUUCAAUUCAAAUCUUAAAUCUAAACCUUAAAACCUAAAUCCUUUACAUAUUUUCAAACCCUAAACCCUAUAUCCCUAUCCAAACCUCAUAUAAACACUAAACUUUAAAGGGAAAAAUGUUAAACAAAUCCUCAGCUUUUUCAUUUGGACCAUUAUAAUCCCCAGCUUUCGGAAAGACCUGAAAAACAAUAAAUUUUUCUUUUGACUUUAAAAACCCAGCUAACUUUUCUUUGAAUGGAUCAAAUUAGACCCGACGUUAAUUAGACUAACGGAACAUGUUAACCCUGUUAAUUUGCACAGUUAGCCAGUACGACAACGUUUUAUCUUAAACUUCAAAAUAAGAUCUGAAACCCUAAUAUCAUUUUCCCCCAAAUCGAUUUGGGGAUUUUCUUGACACACCAACCCUAAAAAUUACGAUUACAACUCAAAAUCCUCCAAUCUCACACGAUUGACUUCCCUUAGCACGAAGAUGAGUUCGGAUUCGACAGCUGAGAGUUCAACCGUGAACACAUACGGUAUUCGUGGGUUUCCGGCGAGCUGUGUUUGCGGGACUAAGACAACAAUCUACACGUCUGAGACUAACAAGAAUCCGGGGAGACCUUUCUUCAGAUGUCUUACGAGAAGAAAGGUAGCUUCUUAUCUUCUUGAUUAUAUUGUUGUCGUUUAUUCAAAUUGAAUAUAAAGCAAUAUGCCUAAAAUCUUAUGGUUUUUGCAUAGAACCACUUGUUUAAAUGGGUUGAGGAGGCUGUUUAUGAAGAGGUUCAAGAUGCCUUACCAAAGAUUGUACUGCUUGAAGCUGAGCUUAACAAAGAAAAAUCUGAUAUUGAGGAUUUGAAAGGCGUGGUCACUGAGUUGAUGGAAGAGGUUGUAAGAGCCAAAACAGAGGUGAAGAGGUGUAAGGUGAUGAUGACGAUCUUGUUUGUGAUCAUGUGCGUGAUCAUCAUUGUCCUACUAGUUAGUUUGAUGUAGAAUUAAGUUAGUUAUUUGCUUAAUGUUUGGUCUUGACUAUGUUUGGGGCUUAAUUCAGUGACUAUUAUGUUGGUUUCAUUGACUAUGUUGUUGUUUGAAGUAAUGAACUAAGUUGUUGUUGUUGGUUGAGAUACAAACCAAUCUUAAAUAAAGCUUGAUGAAACAUAGCAUAAGUUAAGUGUCAAAGCACUACAAAAUAGAUCCGAAAAUACUGAUACACAAGACAGAAACCUGAAAGCUGAGUGUUAAAGCACUAAAACUGAAACAUGAGUGUCAAAACACUAAAACUUCAAAACACUAAAUCCGAAAAUACUAUCUUCUGCUUCUGCCCCUUCCAACUUCGAAAUCACGAAAACCAUCGACCCCAUACCGACGCAUCUGAGUUUGGUGGUGCAUGUGUGGCUUGUUCCCAUCUCCCUGACUCUUGUGGCUGUGUUGAUUCCCCUCGUGGCUGUGUUGACACUUGUGGCUGGGUUGGUUGUGAUGAUGAAGCAUGAGACUGUCCCUGGCUUGGUUGUGACGAUGAUGCAUUAGACUGACAAUGAAAAAAAAAAAUCAAGUGAGCAUAAGAAGAUCAGAAACAAACCAAAAACAUCUUAAAACUUGCCUGAUUUUUCCUAGGGCGACCUCGUGGUUUCUUGGGCUGACUUUCAACAAAGUCAUUCUUACAUGUCUUCUUGUUAUGAUGCUCUUGCUUGCAAUUAGAACAUGUAAUAACUCGAUCAGCACGAGUUAGUUUCGUGCUAUCAGUUGUAGAGACUUUCGGGCCCUUCUCUGUCUCACCCUUGCUCUUGAACCUAUCAUGGUUCUUUGGUCUUCCCGGGUUUCCUUUUCUCCAAGGUGGUGGGAGGACACCUAAUCUACCCGUCUCAGGCCAUAGCUUCUUCCCUUGAACAGGCCUUACCCCCAUACUAUAGGUUUGACGCCACAUAGCUAUGGUAUAACAAGGAGAUACAAAGUCAGAAAGUUUUUUACCAUCUUUAAGGAUCACAUAGGCGGCAUGAAUGCAAGGAAUUCCAGUCAUUUGCCACUGGAUACACCCACAACUUAGCUCAUCCAUAUCCACAGCAUAAGCCACACCACCAUAAUCAACCUCUGUGACUGGACCAACUGCUGGAAAGCUCAUACAAUCCUUAGACUUUGACUCCACUUUAGCCAUCUGAAGAUGCGUCCUUUUUGUGAACUUUGUCUUAGCAUUUUUAGCCAUUACAGCCCUUCUGAAGUUUCGAACCAUACACUGUCUCCUUAUAUCCUCUAACAUCUCCAAUAAUGGCUUCCUUCUUGCUUCACGGAUGGUUCUGUUGAAGGACUCACUUAGGUUAUUGAGAUUAUCGUUGCACAAGGUCCCUAAUUUGAAAUAUGCUCUGGACCAAGUUUCUGGUUUGGUGACUUGAAGAGUAGCAUAGGCGCCUGGAUUGUACUCUUUCAGCCUCUCACUCCACAUUUUAUAAUCUCCAAUUGUAUAACUCCUUGCUAUUCGCCAGAAGAGUCUUUGUAGCUGCAUGUCAUGGCUGCUCUUCUUCCAAUUAUCGAAAAUGUGUCUACAACACUGUCUAUGCUCAACCUCUGGAAGAAUGGUGUGGACUGCUUUCACUAAACCCUGCCAAUUACAAGCAUGAGACAGUUAAAAACACUAAGAUACAGUAAUGCUUUAAGCACUAAAAGCUUUAAAAAAUCAAGAUCAGACGUUUACCUUUUGUUUGUCAGACAAUAUAGCAUAGCCUUUGCCAUCCUUUAAGCCCAAGUCAUUUGCGAGGUGUCUCACAAACCAGUCCCAAUUCGUGUCAUUCUCCACUUCUACUACUGCCCAUGCAAUCGGAACAAUCCGAUUGUCUCCAUCACGUCCUACAGCAGCCAAGAGAUGACCCUUUAUGUCCCACUUUAGAAAUGCUCCAUCUAAACCCAUUAUCGGUCUACAAGAAGUCUUCCAAGUCUCCUUCUGCGCAUGAAAGCAAACAUAUAGCCGGAAAAACCUCUGUUUACUUCCUACUGUCGGUCCAGGGAUGGUUUCGAUAUCCAUUGUAGUGCCAGGGUUGGUUCGAAAAAUCUCAGCUUGAUAAUCCCAUAUCUUGUUGAAGUGUUCUUCGUGGCUUGCUUUUCUUUCUUUCAUAACCUUUGUCUUCGCAUUCCCACAAGCUUCCACACUCACAAACAUCCUAUACUCUCUCUGGAUCUCAGAAGCAAUUUCAUGCUUGGUGAUUUUGGGAUUCAACCUCAGCCUCUCAGCGAACAGCAUUGCUAUAGUAGAACACUUCAAAAACUUUGAGUGUCCUGUUAUCUCACACUUGUGCUCAUUCACAUAACAUUUGAUCAUCAGCUUCUGUUUGCUCUUCUCAUAAGAACAAUACACCCUCCAGGGACACGAGCCAUCUUCACACUUCGCACCUAACUUCAAAGCAGUGGACCGGUAAAGCUUGAUGUUGCGUCGGGUUUUUAAUGUAUACCUGAGAAGGGUAUGCUUGAAUUCUUCAGCAGUGGAGAAAGUGUUUCCCAGCCCAAGCAUUGCCUCUGGAUCCACAUCUUCUCUGUAGGCUAAACUGGGAAUCGAUUGUUCUUCAUUUUCAUCAUCUGAUGAUAGAGGAUCCGGAACUUCUUUUUCAUGCUCCCAAUACCAUUCGUCCCCACUAUCUUCAUCAUUCUCACAAUCAUCAUUCCUCGCUACUUCUCCGAAGAAGACAGUCAAAUCGCGACCAGUUUCUUCCUCGAUACCACCAUGACCGUUUGCUUCAUCAGGGACUUCUUCGUUGUUUGGGACUUCAUCAGCUUCGUCGUCACCGACAACACCACAGUCAUCCUCGCUGAUUUCUCCUUCUUCUUCCCUGUCGAGUACAUCUGUUUUGCUUUUUUUCUUCUUACGUACAUCAGCUUCGUCGCCGACUCCACCUUUUCUUUUCGCUACAGAACUGGCACCACCGAGUUUCCCUUGUCGAGACUUCUUGUUCUUUUCAUUACCCAUCUUCUCUCUUCUUCUUUCUGGCGAAAUCGUGAAAUUAGGGUUCUUAAUUGAGAAAACCCCCAAAUCGAUUUUGAGAGAUAAUGAGGAAGAUGUGUUUUUUUAAUUGAAGAGAAGACGACGUCGUUUUGUUUAACGACGAAAAUUAACUGCGUUUAGACGCUUUGUUAGUGAACUUAACGCCGGGUUUAAAUUGAUCCAAUCGACAAAAAGUUUGAGGUUUUUAUGGUCAGUUAGGAACCUGAGGAUUAUAAUGGUCCAAACGAAAAAGCUGAGGAUUUAUUUAACAUUUUUCCCAAACUUUAAAUAAAAAAAUCCCAAAUAUCAUAUUUCCAAAUAUUAAUAAAAUUAAAAACUAAAAGAUAAUAAUUAUUAAUAUAUAAUCUUUUCAAAUUUACUUUUUCAAACCCUAAAUCUAGCCUUCUAACCCUAUCACACAAACCUUUACUUUAAAAUCUUAUAUGUUUUUUUGUAACACUUUUUUUUUGUUUUUAUGUAACACUAAAAAAAAUCUUAUAUGUUAAAUCUGAAAUUCAAUAGUUCUUAUGGUAACUUUAUAAAUGUAAAUGAUAAUUUAAUUUUUAUAUAAAUAAAAUUAGUUACAUAAUAAAAUUAUAAUUUAAAAAAAAAACUAUUAAAUAAAAAAUAGUUUUUGAUUAGUUAAUCUAUGACCAUUGAUUGCUUUUAAUCCAAUGGUUACAAGUCACUCUUUUAUUAAUCCUCUUCCUUUUUUCUCAUUGGUCAAUUAAUAAAACAAAGAAAAGCUUUUUUUUCUUGUAGUCGAUACUGGUUGUACUCUUCAUAUGACUCCACGAAAGGAACUCCUCUUGGAUCUACAAGAGAAGACAGCGGGUAAAGUGAGAAUGGCAAAUAACUCAGUUCAGAGGUCAAAGGAUCAAGGUCGACACGUUUUAGGAAUCUAGAUGGAACCACAUUUCUCAUACAUGAUGUGAGAUACAUGCCGAGUAUUUCAAGAAAUCUGAUUUCUCUUUGUUUGCUUGAAGAGAAAGGAUGCGAGUUUAAAUGUUGAAAUGGUACACUCAAGGUUAUCAUAGGGUGUACGGUCUUCAUAAAGGGAUCAGGAAGACAGUCUAUGUAUCUACAAGGAGAGGCAUAAGUUCUGAAGCAAAUUUGUCAGAUUCCAGUAGUAAAGAAGAUCAUAUUGGUCAGAAGGGAUUAGAAGAACUGGCCAAUAAGGGAUGUUUUGGAACUAAGAGAGUUUCAGAGAUUAAGUUCUGCGAAGACUGCAUAAUGGGAAAGACUCAUAGGACUGGUUUUCGUCUUGCCCAACAUGUUACCAGGAACAAACUGGACAACAUCCAUUCUGACUUAUGGGGAUCAUCUAACGUUCCUUAUACUCUCAGUAAAUGUCAGUAUUUUAUAUUGUUUACUGAUGAUUUCUCACAAAAUGCAUGGAUAUAUCUUUUAAGGCAUAAGGACGAGGCCUUUAGGAACUUUGUGUAGUGUAAGAAGAUGGUAGACACGAAGUCUGAAAGAAAAUCAAGAAGCUAAGAUCCGACAACGGGUUAGAAUUUUGCAAUCAGUUGUUUCAUAGUUUUCUGUAAAGAGGAAGGAAUAGUAAUACACAGAACGUUCACUUACACCCCUCAACAAAACGGUGUUGCAGAAAGAUUGAAUUGGUCCAUCAUGAAUAAAGUAAGAAGUAUGCUAAGUGAGAGUGGGCUUGGACACAUGUUUUGGGAAGAAGCUGCUGCUACAUCGGUACAUCUAAUAAACAGAUCUCCAUCAUCAGUCUUGGAGUUUCAAGUUCUAGAAGAAAUUUGGACCUUAGUUAUGCUAGAUCUCUUAGGUAUGAAAUGGUUUGGCUGUGUAGUGUAUGUACACCCUGAUGAUGGGAAACUAAAUCCAAAAGCAAGAAGUGGUGUCUUUAGGGUUACCCUGAAGGAGUUAAAGGAUUCAGAGUUUGGUGAAUGGAUGAACAAAAGUGCACCACUAGUAGGAACAUUGUGUUCUGAUAAUAUAAGGUGUUUAAAGAACUUUCAGAAGAUCAAGGUUCAAAGCAAGGUCAAUUUCAAGAUACAAGAAUCAUUAACUUCGAAGUUGAAGAUUUCGGCAUCGCUAGGGACAGAAGACCGACACGUGACAACACGUGACUAGUCUGGAUCACUUCUGUGGGGCCAGGAUACCUCUGUAUAAUUUCAAAAAAAAAAGAAGUUGAAGAUCAAAAUGAUGAGGAACUAAGAGAUAGUUCUCAAGGUGGAGUACUGAGUCAGAAGCAUAAACAGAAGAAGAGACAUGUCAAGCAAGCAAACCUGCAUCAGAUGAUUUAAACAAAGUAUCAGUUAUCAAAAGACAGAUCUCAGACGUAGAUCAUUCCACCACUAAAACUCAGUGAUUACGAAUGUGGAUAUAUGGGAUAUGAAGAAGAAUUUGAGGAGAUGAUAUGCAUGAUGGUUGAAUAUGGAGGUACAUAACCAAAUAGUUAUCAAGAAGCCAUGAGUGAUCCAGAUAGUGAAAAAUGGAAGCUGCCAAGGAUGAAAUGGUUUCACUAAAGAAGAGUGCCCCUUGGGUAUUGAUUGAUAAACCAAAGGACCAAAAGACUAUAGGUUGCAGGUGGAUCUUCAAAAGGAAAUCAGGUAUAGUUGGAGUAGAGGAUCCAAGAUUCAAGGCCAAACUAAUAGCAAAAGGUUACUCGCAGAAGGAAGGCAUCGACUACAAGGAAAUAUUUGCUCCUAUAGUCAAGCAUGUGUCUAUUAGAUACAUGCUGUCUGUUGUAGCUCAUUUUGACUUAGAACUGCAACAGAUAGACGUCAAAACGGCAUUCUUACAUGGAAACAUUGAAAAAUACACUGUGAUGGAUCAGCAUGAAGGUUUUGUGGACAAAUAUCAUCCUGAGAAAGUCUGUAUACUGAAACGAUCACUUUAUGGGCUGAAGCAGUCACCUCGGCAAUGGAAUAAGCGCUUUGAUGACUUCAUGAAGAUGAAUCAAUAUCAAAGUAGAUGAUAUCUUGAUUGCCGCUAAAAACGUCAGUCAUGUUCGGAGUUUGAAGAUACUUCUAAACAGUGAAUUUGAUAUGAAAGAACUCGGAGAUGCAAAGAAAAUUUUCUCAUGAAAAUUGAAAUAUAUAGAAAUAAGGGGUGCUUAUGGAUAUCUCAAGAAGGUUAUCUCAGAAGGAUACUAAGUAAUUUCAGAAUGGAUCAGUGUAAGUCUGUUGCAACGCUUGUGGGAGCACACUUCAAGCUGAAGGCUACAACAAAACAUGAAAUCAGAGAACAUGCAGAUCAAAUGGAAGGUAUAACAUAUCAAAGCGUAGUGGGAAGCAUUAUCUAUGUUAUGAUGGGCACUCAUCCUGACCUAGCAUAUAAGGCUGGUCUUGUAAGUCGUUUUAUGUACAAUCCAAUUCAAGAGCAUUGGAGAGCAGUGAAGUGGGUGUUAAGAUACAUUCAAGGAUCGCUUGAUACAAGACUGUGCUACAAGCGUAAAGGAGAGUUCAUUGUUAAGGGUUACUGCGACUCUCAACUUCAACAGGUUGUAGUCCUUUCAACAGCAGAAGCAUAAUACAUAUCUCUAUCAGAAGCCAUUAGAGAAGGGGUAUGGUUGAAGGGUUUACCUGAAGAAUUAGGUUUUGGUCAAGAGACGGUAGAGAUAUUUUGCGAUUCUCAAAGCACCAUUGCUCUCUCCAAGAAUGUUGUGCUUCAUGAGAGAACAAAGCAUGUCGCACAGAAGUAUCAUUAUGGUCGAGAUCUUAUAAGCAAAGGGAUAGUAGCAGUUUUGAAGAUUGCCACAGCUUACAACCCCACAUAUAUAUUUACUAAAGUUUUACUGGUUUACAAGGUGAAGGAAGCACUGAAUAUGCUUCGUAUUGGUAAGGAAUGAGCUGAGACUAUCCUGAAAAGGAUGUCGAGUCUGGUAAAGGAUUCGUGUGUUCGGUUUAGAGCACAAGGAGAUUGGUGUAGAGGUUGAUCUAUGCCUCAGGUGGAGAUUUGAAGGUUUAUAGUCAUCAGAUCAGCCACAAGUAGAAGACUCAAGCUGAAAGGAAGUUGGUCUUUCGUAGAGUCUUAAGUGUCUUAGAUACUCUGUUUGAAUCUAAGAAUUUGUAACACAUUAGUCGGUUAGUACAUGUGUCGCCUUUUCACAUGCUGUGUUAUUAAGCACGUGCAAAUAACUGAGUUAUAAAGCUAUAAGUCUGAGUCUUGAGCUGAUUAGAGUUGACUUACGGUUUUUGUUAUCAGCCAAGAUCGAGAGCGAGAGACACGAAGAAUGAUUGUACAAGGAGCUCGGUUGAGAGCAAGAUUAGUAUGUUGCUGGUUCAAUUCCAGCUCCCAUGAGCUAUAGAGGCCUUUCCUCGUUAACAGAGGGGUGUGGUUAACACUGGAUCAACAGUUGCUUGUGUUUGUGUCGAUUGAUUCAAGUUCGAUAAAUCAAGAUUAGGUCUCUAUCUUCACACCAAAAUUAUAGUGUCUAUAAGAUACAACACUAGGUUUGUAUUCAUGCCUGAUAAUUCUCUGACACUUAUUUUAACUAAUUGAUUGUAAGAGUUGUAUCAUAUUAAUAUAAUAGUUUUUUUUUUUUUUGCAUAAUAUGUUCGUUCAUCAAAACUUAUUGAUAAUGAACGAAUUGGUUUUUAUGAUUUAUUUUAACCACACACAAAAUAUGCAAGUUGGAGAAAAUAAUACAAAUCAUAUAAAAAGGUGCACAUACGUAAUAUAUCUAUUUUCGACUUUUCGUAGAAUAAAAUGAUAUUUACCUCGUUUUACCUUUGCUCUCCACUUUCUCUCUCUCGUCGGCGUCAAUAUAGUUGGCGUUCUGGUGGCUUGUCUUCGCGGCGGAACCCUAGAUCUGCUCCGGGGAGAUCUAGAUCUGACGGUCUGAAGCUUACGACUGGAAUUUCACUGAGGCGUUGCCGGUGUAAGUGGUGGUGCGUCUUUGGAGUCAAGACGUAUGGUGGCGCUCGGAGGUGAAGGGGCUGUUGAUGCGCGUUCUGGUGGUUUUAUUUCCGGGCGAUGGAGGCUUCUUUAGCUCCGUUGACGUCGGUUCUCUUGUGGGGGUGGAGGCUUUCAUAGAUCCACCGUCGUCACUCUUGCUUCCGGGAAGGUGAGGUUUCUUUAACUCUCUUCGCCGGCUUUUGGAUUACGGUGAGAGGAGGCUCACAUAGCUCCUUGAUACCGGUGUGAGACCCUUUGUUUUGGGUGUGGCGAUUAGAUCGAGGUUUAUAGAGGCGGUUGGUUCUUGUAAUCUGUGAGGCGCCGAGGAUGAGAUAUCAGUUUAAGCUCUCCGGCGACGGCGAUGAAGUUUUUAGAAGAUCUUUGUGUGGUUCUCGGCUUGACUGUCCAGCGUUUCUGGUGGUCCAAAGUCGGAGGCGAUCUCGGUUAUCUGAUGAACCCUCCGGCGUGAAGACAGUUCGGCGAUGAACGUUUGUGUAUGUGCGGAGGCUCUGCAGGUUCGGAGCUCCGGCGGUAGUUGCGUCUCCUUGCGGCGCGCCUAGGGCGAACAGCCCGGUUUCUUGUUGUUUGGGCUGUGUGGCCGGUUUGUAUUACUUGGGCUUUGGCCCAUUGUGUGUUUAUGCUUUGUGGCCCGUACUAUCGUGGGCUUCUGUUUUAAAUCUCCUGCUGUUUGGGCUUCGGCCCUAGGCUUGGUCCAUCUUUCAAUAAAAUCAAUUUGGGAAAAAAAAAAUGAUAUUUACCUUACCUAAUGUUUUAUUAAAAAAACAUUAAAUCAAGUAACGUGAUGAAGGCGACUCGAGCCUAACCAAAGUGCUAGAGACCCUGUCACUGUAGAACAAAGACAAAUAAGAACAGCUAAAGAAAGUCAGUCCCAGAUUUGUAUGCGGGCAAGAAGACAAUAUAAACAAAUAAAUAUAUGCAUCUUCCAAAUUCUAGAAAUUUUGUUAUUAAUCCACUAAUCACGGAUCUUAUGUUUUGCUGCCACAAUCUUUUUUGUUUGAUCCUUCUUUUCUUGAUAUCAAACGGUACAAUAACUAACCAGCAGUCUGGACGAGGUAGUCCAAGUGGUAGGACAGGCCUGUGGUGGCAACCACCAUCCGGGUUCGAUUCUCUCUCCAUGCGGAAACUAUCCUGCCUCUUCUGGACACCAAAGCGGUACUGGGUUCGAUCCAGCCCAGGUAAAGUCCUCCCGGGUGAAGUGGAACGCUGCCUGACCGGGCCCAGGGGAAUGACCCGCGAAGCGGGGAACCCUUGGAUUAUCAAAAAAAAAAAAUAAUAAUAACUAACCAGCAAUUAACCAGUUAAUUAUUAGAUACCACGGACAAAUUAUUUGAUACAGUAUAGUUUACCAUAUAUAUACCAUUGAGCUUCGGGGUCCUUGCAAAAUAGAUAGUAAUACAAUACUAUCAAACUAGGUUAAGAGUCUUUUUAACCUUUUGUGUAAUGCACAUAAUAGCUCGGAGGUGACGGGGCUGUUGAUGCGCAUUCUGGUGGUUUUAUUUCCGGGCGAUGGAGGCUUCUUUAGCUCCGUUGACGUCGGUUCUCUUGUGGGGGGUGGAGGCUUUCAUAGAUCCACCGUCGCCACUCUUGCUUCCGGGAAGGUGAGGUUUCUUUAACUCUCUUCGCCGGCUUUUGGAUUACGGUGAGAGGAGGCUCACAUAGCUCCUUGAUACCGGUGUGAGACCCUUUGUUUUGGGUGUGGCGAUUAGAUCGAGGUUUAUAGAGGCGGUUGGUUCUUGUAAUCUGUGAGGCGCCGAGGAUGAGAUAUCAGUUUAAGCUCUCCGGCGACGGCGAUGAAGUUUUUAGAAGAUCUUUGUGUGGUUCUCGGCUUGACUGUCCAGCGUUUCUGGUGGUCCAAAGUCGGAGGCGAUCUCGGUUAUCUGAUGAACCCUCCGGCGUGAAGACAGUUCGGCGAUGAACGUUUGUGUAUGUGCGGAGGCUCUGCAGGUUCGGAGCUCCGGCGGUAGUUGCGUCUCCUUGCGGCGCGCCUAGGGCGAACAGCCCGGUUUCUUGUUGUUUGGGCUGUGUGGCCGGUUUGUAUUACUUGGGCUNNNNNNNNNNNNNNNNNNNNNNNNNNNNNNNNNNNNNNNNNNNNNNNNNNNNNNNNNNNNNNNNNNNNNNNNNNNNNNNNNNNNNNNNNNNNNNNNNNNNNNNNNNNNNNNNNNNNNNNNNNNNNNNNNNNNNNNNNNNNNNNNNNNNNNNNNNNNNNNNNNNNNNNNNNNNNNNNNNNNNNNNNNNNNNNNNNNNNNNNNNNNNNNNNNNNNNNNNNNNNNNNNNNNNNNNNNNNNNNNNNNNNNNNNNNNNNNNNNNNNNNNNNNNNNNNNNNNNNNNNNNNNNNNNNNNNNNNNNNNNNNNNNNNNNNNNNNNNNNNNNNNNNNNNNNNNNNNNNAUUACACUAGCAUUAUAUAUAGAUUAUAUAUACACAAAUAAAUAUAAUAUAACAACAUAAGCUUGCUUUCCCCGAUUCAUAUGAAAUUUUUUUAAGUUAUCCACCAAAGCAAAUUAAUUAAAUCAAUCAAAUUGUUAGAAUACAAAAAUUAAUAUAUAAUUUUAUUUUAAAUUAAAUUAUUUAAAAAGUGUAUUUUCAUUAAAAAUAAAAUAAUAAAUAAGUAAAACUGAUUUGAUGGUAAUUUUAAUGACAUAUAUAUAUUAUGUGAAAGAAAUAUAAGCUUAAUAUGGAAAAAAAUCUUAAAUACAAAAAAUCCUAAAUUAUGAAAAAAACUAAUAAAAAUUAAACUAUGAUAUCAUUUUAAAGCUUCUUAGACAAUAUUAAUAAAAUAUUUAAGCGAUAAUUAAACAAAUUAAAUUUUAUUUCCAGCCAAAAGUUUAUUAUUAAUUAGCAUCAGUUAUUUCAAGAUGUUUAAGAAAUGAUGGACUUAAAUUAUAUAUGAACUAUGAAUAGUAGUACUUUGUAAGACUUAGAUAACACAUUUGCACAUCAUUUUCAGUCAUUUUUGAUGCCUAAAUUCAAUUUCUUCAGAGCAGUUAUUCCACAAAUAGAUCGUAUGAUAUAUUCUUUUGAUAUUCAGAUUUGUUUCUUGACUGUUCAGAAGAUUGAUAAAUGUAAAAAUGUCUCAUUCGAUAUUAUAUGUCUAUAACCGAAUCCCCAACAUGAGACAAUUUUCUUUAAAAAGUAAAUAAUUUCAUUUUUCUUAUAUUAUAUAAUAAAUAUAUAUUAUUUACUGAUAAUAAAAAUAUAGUUAUUCAUCUCCAGCCGCACCACCAGAAUCUCAGCAGCCGCACUAAGAUGGUGGAAAAAUAGAGACCGGCUUUCAAAUCACCAAGAAGAACAAAUGUGUUAGCCAUAAUUCUACAAAUAAGUUCUUUGGUUUAUCACCAAAAGUGAGGAUGAUGAGAAAGGGAUGCAGGAUUACUUUUUUAUAAAUGGACAAUCACCGCCUAGAACUGUGAUAAUUAUCAUGGAAUGGAUCGUCGUGCUUGAUAUGCAUCGAUGGAGUUAAGAUGUUCCUUAAAGACCAUUAAUUAAGAGAUCUCGUAACGUCUUAGAGGGGAUGAACGGAAGACGAUUCGACGCUAACGACUCCACACAAAGAUUCUCUUCACGCCGCUUCGUCAAUAACGACAUGCUGAAUCUCCAUUGUUAGAAGAAGAUGAAACCCUAGUUUUCGAAGACGGCUUCACGAAGGAACUGGUAUCUCUCUAUCGGGCUGGUUAGUUCUGUCUGAAUAAUGAAACCCACCGGAACAGAUUAAAGCCCAUCAUGAUUCAGUUAAUUGAAACGAUGAGUUUCAUACGUGUCACAACAGGAGCUCAUGAAUUGUUGCGCUGGCAUCCUUGUUGGCAUGUCUGGGAGAGAAACAAAGCUUCUUUUAUAUAUAAAGAUAACCGAUAGGGUUAGUUCCAUCUCGAUUUGAAAGAAAACGAAUAUUCUAUCGCCAAAAGUUUAGUCCUAAUAAUCCGUAAAUUUUAGUUUAUAAUUUAAAAAAUUGGAAAGUAUUAUAAUUAAGGAAUCAACAAAUAUGAAACAAUAUUAACUAUGAGAUUUUUAUAUUAAUUGGAAAGUGUAACACAUCUUUUGUAUAAUUCUAUGUUACUCCUUACUAUCAGUUAAGAAAUAUAAAUGUGAAUUUUAUAGUAUACUAGGGCCGGCCCGGGCUAGGUUUUUGUUUACAGUUUAAAUUUGAUUAUAUAUUUUUAUGUUUUGUUUCAUGUAUAAAUAUUAUAUUAUAUUAUAAAAAUAUAAGUUGAUUGUUUUUUGUCUUACGAAUUUCAAAAAUUUUAAUAUCCUAAUACUUAAUAUUUGAUUAUUGAAAAUUUGAUGUACGAAGAUGAACAAAAUGAACUUAAAUUAAUUAAAUUUUAGUUAUGGUGUUUGAUUGGUUGGAUUGUAAGAAUGUUUCAUUUCACUUAAUUUUGUUUCCAGUUAGUUUAUAAUUAAUUUAAUGGACAAUCUCCCCUUAAAUAUACAACCUGUUGUUGUUUAUGUUAUAUUUUUUCUUAAAUCAGCUGUUUAAAAACUGUAAUAAUUUUGACAUAAAAAAACUUACAACUAUAUCACUAAAAAUUACAUACUAAAUUCUUACAACAAAAUUUCUGCAUUUACAACCCAACUAACAGACCCAUGAUCUACAUAUAUCUUUUUUCCAUGAUCUAAAUAUUCAUUUUAUCUUACUUAUAUAAGUUUAGAUGUAAGAUAUUGUUCAAUGUACAAACAAUUAAUAUUUAUUUUAGUUUUAGAACCAUUGAAUUCAUAACUUUCAAUGGGGGUUUGAAAUUUUGGCUUUUCAAAUUGUUUGUUCCACUUCGUCCUACGUUUGUUUUGAUGUAAUUUCACCGUCUAUUUUUUUUACAGACAAUAUAUAUACAUACAUAUAUAUAUAUAAUCAAUUUGGAACAAUGAUCAUAUCCAUAUUAUUAUCUCUAAAUUGGUUGUUGAUCAAAAUAGUUAUUACCAAAGUAUAAAAAAAAUUGUGUUGUGGUUCUUAUUUAUAUUAUAGUUGUGAUGUUACAGGGUGAUACACUAAUGCAGGAUAUCCAGCUGAGGUCUUUUCUCUUAGAAAACAAAAUAUUGACAACCAAGAUAAGCUAUUUAAAUAUGUCUAGAUCGUGUCUUCACUAUCGUUUCCACAUCUCAACUACGAACCAAAUAUGGCAGAGUUUGUGGUUGACCAUCCCCAGAUUAAAUCACCUUUAAUUAAAAGGGUGUACCAUUGGUAGAUUAUUAUGGGAUGAAAAUUAGAUUAGAAAAAUGAUAAACGUGCUGAAAACUAACACCUGCCAUCUUGAUGAACUUGAUAAAGCGCGGUGAAGGUAUGGCGAUGACUGAGCCUGAAAUUUUGAAGUGAUGGUUGAUCUUGCUACAUCUAACACACCAAGCUCGUAAAUAAAUCCUUCUUUGAACGGUGAUGGAUCCAUGUUUGAGGGUCGAAUGUGAAGAGGAGUAAUGAAAGAUAAUGACAUUUACUGUCCCUGCAAGUUGCGAGACGGUGAAAAUUCAUGGUGGCUUGCAUGAGGGUCGACUGGAAAAUGAGAGAAAGAGAGCAUAAUAAACAAAUGGUUUAAAAAUAUCAAUUCAAAAAAUAUUUGUUAAAGAUCUGAAUAAAAACGCUUGAUGAUUAUGAAUGUGACCACCGGAAAAGUUAAAACUACUACGAUCAUGAUAUUUAAGAAUGGGAAAACAUAAUCAACACACAGUUUCAAAAUUUCUCAUUGAAAAUUGAUUCAAUAAAGAUCUGAAAAAAAAUUUAUCCUUAUGAACGUGAAAACGGGAAAAUUUCAAAAACUCCUACGAUCAUGAUUCAUGAGAAUUAAGAACGGUAAAACAUAAUCAUAAAAGGUUUCAAAAUAUCUCAUUCAAAAGAGAUUCAAAAAGAUCCAUACUUAUGAAUGUAAAAGUCAGCGAAGUUCAAAACUAUUAUGAUCAUGAGAUUUAAGAAAGAAAAAACCUUCGUAUCAAGGAGGAGCAAGUUCACUCUCAUCAACUCGCCACCGCGUUUGAAGUUUCUAGCCGUAGACGGUCGAAGAACAGCGACCAGCCUUCAAAUCAGUAAGAAGAACAGAUGACUUAGCCGUUAUACUGCUAAUGAGUUUCUGUAGAUUAUCACAAACUGGGAAGAUGACUUUGGAGGGACGAAGGCCUACCUUUUUAUAAAUUUGAUAAUUAUGAGUUUAGAUGUACCAUUUAUUUAAGAAAAAAUGAUGAACAUGAGUUUGACUAAUGGAUUCACCUUAGCGUCUAAGAGGAGCAUAUGCCGACAACCGCUACCAACCGUAAAAGCUGUGUUUGCGGCUGGUAGCGGAAAAACCAGCCGCCCCCUAACAGAGGUAACCGAUGAAUGAAAACAAAAAAUACCAGAGCAUUACACUUUUUUCGUCUAAAAUUGUGAUAUGUUAAGGGUAUGACUGGUUUUCCCGCUAUCACCCGCAAACGCAGUUUUUGCGGUUGGUAGCAGUUGUUGGCGUUUUGCAACAAUCGUUCAAACCGCUCCAAACCGCUCCAAAUCGCUAUGAACCUCAUAAAUUCAAAAGUUGGUUCCAGCAAGCGUUUGCGGUUGCGGGAGGAUAAAAAAAGUUUCUUUUUUUCUCCAAAACAAUAUAAAUACAAAAAUAAAAAUAUUCAAUAAAAAAAUUAAAUUGGAACUAUAAAAAUACUAUAAUAUAUCUAUUAUAUUUUAAUUAAUAUUAUAAAACUUAAAAAUAAAAAUAUUUUCUAUAAGUUUUAAAAAAUCUAAACUAUAACAUUCUAAAUAUAAAUUUUAUAUUAUUAUAAUAUUAUUAUUUUGAUAUUUUUAUAAUUAUAUAAAAGGUAAAUAUUGUUAAUUUAUUAUUUAAUUGUUGUUGCAUUUGGUAGUUAACCAGUCAUAAGUAUUCCGUAAACACACCAAUUUUUAACCGCAUAACCAGUCAUACAAAUCUCUUAAAAUCGCUAGAAACCGUAACCACUUGCAUCCGCAAACUCCCACAACCGUAACCGCAGUCGCUGCGGUUGAACCAGUCAGACCCUAACAAAAGAAAAAGUCCAAGCCAUUACAAAAAUACAGGAUGAAAAACAAUCACAAGCAAAACAUACACCAAACAUAAUGUUACAUUUACAACUCAAAAAUUCCUUGAGCCAAUAUGGUGGACCACAAGCUAUAUAUAUAUAAUUGCCAACGAUCUUAUUAGUGACGCUUUUAACUAUUAAAUAAGUCACAUCAUUUGCAUUUGCUGAUCUAGGAGAUAGUUCCUGUAAGACAAGAUUCUGGGUUUCCAAACCCAAUAAGACCCGUGUGCUGGACCCAAUUUCGAUCAAUUAUGUGAUUGGGCCUAAAUAGCCCAGGCCGCACAACCUACAAAGAAGCCCAACUCCGGCUGGCACGAGGAGAUCGAUUUGAAGAGCUAGAGAUCGCGGAGGAGUUGAGAAAAAUCUGAAAUGAACCCACUAUAAGAAAUGAUUGAUGGGAACGAGGAGAGACGCAGAGAAAACCCUAGAAAAGCUAUACACACAUAUCGACCUCAUUUCACUUUGCUUUAAGUCUUUUCUCUUAUCGACCUCGUUUGUAACGUCGGAUCUUAUUCUUCUUGUUGUAUUCGAUCUUAUUCAUCAAUAAAAAUUCAUCUUUGCCUACUGUAAUAUGAUUAUAUCGUUGUGUUCUAAAGAUAUUGUUGCUCACAUCUUCUUUUCUUAGUGUAAAUUUUAGGAUCUACAUUUUGGCGCCGUAUGUGGGGAAGAUAAACGAAAAACAUAUUUUCUAAGAAACCGAUUUAAGUUUCCUAAGCGCGACUAUGGAUCCCAAUCAAACCAUCGGAACCACGCAAUCAAGAACGACGUCAAUCUUGCCGGAUCUGACUCAAGAACCAAAAACAUACAUGCAGGACCGACAAGUACAUAUAGGAUGGUCGAAACGACCCAAACGAAACGGAUCCCUUCGAUCGGAACCUCAAACCAGGAUCGAGCAUCAAGCCACGAUCGAGCUCCAGCGUCAGAUCGGACCUCAGCACCAGAUCAAACCUCGGUUCCAGAUCGGACCUCGAUCCCCGACUGAACCAGAGCUCGAGUCUGGAAUCGUCCCGGAGAAAGGCAGCCUACCGAUAACCUAACCCGAACUUAAUCGACGAGGCCAAUAUCUCUGACCCCUCUAGUUCAAACUCGAGAAGAAGUAACCGAGCUUCGAGGAAUGGUCUCGGCAUUAAUUGAAAAAUCUCGAAACCAAGAUACCGCCUAUUGAACCAUUGCUAAUCGACUGGAUCAUGCCGAACGGGAACUCGCGGAACACCGAGCUAACGCCCGAGAAAGAAACCAACAGCCAUCCGGUCCAUCAAGGGGAACACCGAAUUCCUUAAAUCUUUGAGCUUUUAGCACUCCAAAGUUCCCAAUCGCUCGAUCCAGACGCUACAUGGGAGAAAACUCGCAACCCCGCAACAAGGCAUGGCCUACUGAUGCUUUAGCUACAGUGGACUGUACGAAAUAGAUACCGGGCUACAAGGCCCACGAAGUACGUCGAUCCAACCACGAAACGGGUACGCGGAAAGACCUGGUGAUCCAAGAACGCGAACUCCACCACUGGGCGACCCAAGCUCCGAGAAUCAAACUCCACCUGCUACGGGAACUUUACAGCAAACUGGAUUCGGUGAUCCAACGGGACAAGCCCGAGGAUACGGCCCCUGCGGAUCCAUUGACGCAGAUCCUCGAAGAGAAGACCAGAUAGUCCUGAAUUAAACCGGAACUUUCCAGAAUUACAUCAAAAGAAACGACCCCGAGCUCAAGAGGAUACACACCAUCAUGCAUAUGGAAACAAGCUCAGCUCCGGACAUAUAUAUGGUUAUCAAAGAGACAAGAAGGACUUCGUUCACGAAUCGAAUGGCCAGCAUAAGACUACACCAUGUGGGAAAACUAAAAUUCCCGAGUAUGCCAGGAACUCAGACUCUAAAGCUCACAUACGAGCCUUCCGACUAGCAAUAUCGAGAGCACAUCUCAACGAUGACGAAAUUGAGGUCGGCUACUGUCGCUUCUUCGCCAAAAAUCUUACCGGGGCUGCUCUCGAGUGGUUCGCUGGCCUGGAAGAAAACUCAAUCGAUAACUUCACCCAGUUAGUAUCUACGUUCCUCAAAAAAUACUCAUUAUUCAUAGAAACAAAGGUUACCGAGGCGGAUCUAUAGAAUCUCAAGGAAGCACCCUUUGAACCGCUAAGAGCGUACAUAAACAAGUUCAGAGAAAUCAAGGCGAAGAUUUCACAUCCGAACGAAGUUAUGGCCUUGGUAGCACUAAAGAACUGCGUCUGCUUCUCAUCCAAAUUCCGAGAAGAAAUGGCGGUACGAGCACCCGUUUCGUUAGACGACGCCCUACAUCGAGCCUCCUACGUCGCAACCCAGGAAGAAAAGGUCGCCGCUUUAAAGGAACAGUACAGCACAAACAAAAAUAACGCCAGCAAAAAUACUAAUGCUCCUAAAGAACCAGCAACUAAAGGGCAACACUCCUAUGCGAUAAACAUUUCGCCGCAAAACAAAUUGUCGACGUACGAUCUCAACAAAUUUGUGCCUUCCAUAAUCAGAAGGGUCCUUCGACCGAGGAAUUUCGAACAGCACUUCGCAGUCAAAACGAAAAUAAACAAACCAGCGAAGAUAAUGACGAAGAAGACGUGCCAGCAACUCCGAAAACCAACCGGAAAAUUAAAGGCUCUUCGAAUAAAAGAAAUAGGGAAACCGAGCUUGAAUCACCUAGCUCUCCACCUCCAGCACCAAAGAAAAGAGUCGACAUGAUUUCAUGGUAACCAAAACGUGAAACCCCAAAUAAAAUCGAAGGUCAGACCGAAGGAAAGGUGUCCAUCGAUAUAAUGGUAGCAAUCCGCGCCUUAGAAGGCCUCGACAGAGCCUCCCCUCCCUAAUACAAUCCAAAUACGAAGACUCCCUUCAAAAAUCCUCAACCUUAAGCGAAAUCAUAAGAUGGCCAAUGUCCGAGAACUACUAGAGAGACCUGUCUGGGGGACAGAAACACUACCAACUAGCACCGACCAAAAAAAGGGACUUCCCGACUUAUGACAAAAACAAAAAAACGAAUCGACUUUAUAUACGGAGGCUUUAAAUUCUGCAACUCGGUUAACUCGAUCAAAGCAUACCAACGAAAAGCCAAAAACAACGUAGGAAUUAGAGAGCCCCUAUCAGGUCCCGACCACAAAAUAACUUUCGACGAGAACAAAAAUGCAGAUCUUGACAAAAUACACGACGACGCCCUCGUAAUACGACACGACGUCGGCGGUUGCGAACUAUCUCGGGUCAUGCUUGACACAGGAAGCUCGGCCGACGUCCUUUUCUACGAUGCGUUCAAAAGGAUGGGAUUCACCAAAGCCCUCUUUAAACAAGAACGAACCCCAUUAAUCAGUUUCACAGGAGAAACUACUCACUCCCUCGGAUCAAUCGAGCUCGCCAUAACCGCUGGAGAAGUCAGAAAAUCCGUCGAGUUAAUCGUGAUAGAUCGUCUAGCCCCGUUCAACACAAUCCUUGGAAGACCUUGGUUGUACAGCAUGAAGGCAGUUCCCUCAACCUAUCACCAGUGCCUGAAGUUCCCAACUCCAAAAGGGAUCGAAAGUAUCAAGGGAAGCCAGAAAAGCUCUAGAACCUGCUACCUCACAAGCUUUAAAGAUAUCGAGCCACAUCCUUAAUCAGCGCUCAAGACACCGAAUACACGUACACACGUACACGAACAACAUAAUAAAAAACCCUACAUCUAGGGAAAACAAUCAAACUACGUUGUGACUUGAUCCCUCAUCGAGGGUACGUAGGCAACUCACGACACGAGUUCAGUCACCCACCAACCACAAAGUCUAAAAGAUGCAUACCGCAACCCACUCCGAUCAACACUCGAAGUACGCUAGCACGACAACAUCGACCUUGGACUAAAAGUCAAGCACCAUCUUUGUACCAAAUUUGUACCAUACCGACAUUUUGAAUAAAAAUUCAAGUUUGAUUCAAAACACAUCAAGUUCAUUAGAUAUCCCAUAUCUGCAAAGUAGAAAUUCUCGAAAUACUCAAAAACGGCUGGCUGCAAACCGAGACCUUGAUCAAGUCUUCGGGCACAGUCAGCUCCGCCAGAAACGCGGCAAAGCUCAUUAACAAAAUCUUUUGUCAUACCAAACAAACCUCGAUAAAAGUAUCUACAAUAACUCGACCCACGGCCUCGAAAGAUCGGCCCACAUAAGAACGAAAAAAUAAUUCAAGAACUCGCAGUCUCUUUUCUUUAUUGAUAUAAUAACGCAACAAAAACAGAAGGAAAAAACAAAAGCAAAACGCGAAUCCCUGAAACUACUCUUCGGCCUCAAAUUCGCCAUCCUCGAACUGACCACCUGCACGCUUUGCCUGAGCCAUCUUCAAACCGAGCUUUAGCUCAUGAACGACCUUCUUAAUCUCGUAAAUCUCGUCGAAACACGGGACAUCCUGCAAACGCCUUUCUAAAGUCGCCGCGAACUCAUUAUUAGCCUCCAUAGCCUAGAACACGAAGAAAAACGAAUUGAGGAGUAAAUAUUAUAGCCAUUAAAAAGCCAACUUUAGCAUACGCAACAACCAUCUUAACGUAGGCAUCGCGCUCUGUCAAUUUCGAAGAGAAGGGAGCAGACACCCGGGCAGCUUGAAAUGCCUGACCAGAUAAGAAACGCUGUCCGGAUCUUCUGUGAUCGGACAAUCUUUGGAAUGAGAAAAUUGCCAAUGAAACGGUUUUGCAACAGUGUUGUCGCCCGAGACACCAGGACGAUGAUCAGUACCAGUAACCUUCGCCUUCUUCAGAGGAUGAUCUCGCCCCUCCCAGCUAUUCAGACUGUUUGAGCUCAUACGAACCACCACCUUUUCUCCUCCAAGAUCCUUCCCCUCUCCACUAGCGGGAGCACGGGGAAUUCGGGUAUCCUCGCAAAGAACUUCUGUAAGCACUUCGCUCACAUCACCAGAACGAAUUCGUUCUGCGCCGACACUCCCAUUCCAGCCUCGUACUUUUUCAAACUCACUGGAAUUCACUCUUCUCGACGACAUGUCAAUAAAAGAAAAAGAGGAAGCCUGGGUUCAAAAUAUGGAACCAAUACCAAACAAAACGAAACGUUAUAAAGGGCAAGGCACCACAGGAUCUCAACAGGAAGGAGGAAUAAACUCUUUCAAAGAAAAGAUAUUCCGAAAGUCAUAUUUAUCUAUUCAAAAACUCAAAAUCAAAUACGAAACAGAAAAGAUCGCUCAGAUCCGAUACAAAAACAAUAAAAACAAAAAAGAAAAAAAAGCACAAGACAACCUAAGAGCUAGCUUCUUCUCUUGCAGAUGAGUUCGCAGCCAGAAACUUGAGGAAGAUCAAGACCCGCAACCAACCAAUCCGGAACAGCGGCCAAAUUAGCAGCGGCUUUUCAGUCUUUCUCCAUCUCCUUCAGACGAACGAUCUCGUCUUCUACAUCCAGCCCAUCCUCCUUGAUUUCGCUCAGCAGAUUGAGGUUAGCAACUACUUCGUGGAGUUGAAUCUCAGCAGACACUUCCUUCUUCUUGUCAACCCAUCUCUUCUCCAAAGAAGUGAGAACCUCUCAGAAGCCACUAGCAACCUCACGACGAGUGGCGCAGGAACCCUUACGGAUAUCCCGGUCACGAUCGGCCUCGGUCUCAAAGACCACCCUUUCCUGACAUGCUAUUUUCCAUUCGUCCCUCAAGAUCAUCGCCUCUCCAGUUUUUUUCCUAGCCUCCUCCUUGGCCGUCCGAAGCUCCUUUCUCCACCUCACUCGCUGUGAAGAGUAUGCACAAGAUCCUCCAUCGUCACAGCAAACGCGCUAAAAGCUUCCAUAAUCUGGAAAGGGAAAAUCUCGAAUUUAGUGCCUUAGCACCGCUAACAGAAAUACAUAUAGCUCAAUGAAACCAACCUUGGAGCUCACAAUGACUACUUUGGGGUAAGCCCCCUCCUCAUCAAGAGAAGCGAGAGACGGAGGGCGACAAUCCAUGGACCUCGUACGACAAGCAAGAGAAACGAGAUCGCCUUGGCCCAUUGAUAAAGGACCAUCGCCCUCGAGGACGAGCUUCCAUCCCUUCGAUUCUCGCUUAGAACGAGACCGCUAGUGCAUAAUGGCCUUCAACGAUCGACGCCGCUUACGGCUCGCAGAAAUGGAGUUAUCCUGCAAACCGAGACUCAAAGGAACAGGGGAUCCCCAGCCUCCGGGGGCACCCUUCAGCAUCCGAGUCCAGAAUUGGGAUCAGAGGUGGCCUGCUAGCGACCUUGCCCGCUGACGCCGACCUGGAGGUACGAAAUGACAACCUCCUCGCAAGCUAUCUUGCCAACCUAUCAGAAGGAGGGGGAUAGCUAGAGGAAGACUCUACAUAUUCCUGAGAGUGCUCCGCUUCAUCCUCCGAGACGCCUGCGAUCUCCGUGGCAACACUCGAUCCACCCGGCAUCUGGAAAGCAGCUUGAAUUCGAGAAUGAUCAAAAGAUGAUCAAUCCGAGCGACCUCUCCGGAGAGGUUCGAUUAAACCCUGAAGCCCGUCGGUCAUAGAAAAUCUGCCCGAAUGAAUUAGAGCAAGCAAAAAGGAAGAAAAAAAUUGAUCAAAAAUUGUUAGUGCAUGCAAAAUAAGCAAAAGUACCAUAGAUGAACUCACUUAUAUCCUCAACCCAGUAGCAGGGAAGUUUCGAGAAAGCAAAGCUUCCCACAGACGUUUCGUAGAUUUUGAAGACAAAAAACUCCUCCCACCAGUUCUGAUCACGAUACGGAUGCCCUGUAUGAUUUGAUGCCCUUGACGUGGAGACAUAAGAAAAGUCCCAGGGUUUUGGUUGUUUCGUUUCAUCAGAACGAGGUGACAAAGCUCGUCGAGGCCAAACAAUGGACCCUCCUCUCGAGCCUAGACCAUGAACGCCAAAAGAUGUCUCAAGAAAUUAGGGCACAUCUGAGUAAGCGACAAACCCAGAUACACUAAAAUAUUAGAGACAUGCUCCAGGAUCGGAAAGAAAAGACCACAGGUCUCAAAGAAGGAGAGAUACGCCCCACCGUAUCCAGCCCUAACACCUUCCGGAGACUCAGACGUAGAAUCCAAUCAACAACAACAGCCAUAUAAACGCCGUGAACGGUGUAAAGCUCCUCGAGCCGAUCAGCCUUGAUCGUCGGAAGAGGAUAGGAAAACGAUGGAGCCAUCUCAGAAAAAAUCAACAAUUGAAGGUCGUUGAUAUGAAAAGAGAAAGAAUAAAAUUGAGGCAGUAGAGCGCUUCUGGGUACUUAUAAGCCAUCGCAAGCCCUAACGGCUCUAUCACCAAAACCGAGAGGUUUAAUGAUUCGCCCUAAGGCAGCGCAUAUAGCUGUUGCGUCGAGAAAUCAAAAAACUCGCGAAGCAACGUGCGAAGUCUAGAUUGAAUAGACCAUAUAUCUUCCUUCAACCUGAAGAAAAGAGAUUGGAGGACAAAUUUUGGACCCAAUUUCGGUCAACUAUGUGAUUGGGUCUAAAUCGUCGGGGCCGUGCAACCUACAAAGAAGCCCGACUCUGGCUGGGAAGAGGAGAUCGAUUUGAAGAGCCGGAGAUCGCGGAGAAGUUGAGAGAAUCCAAGAUGAACCCACUAUAAGAAAGGAUCGAUGGGAACGAGGAGAGACACAUAGAAAAUCCUAGAGAGAGCUAUACACACACAUCGACCUCAUUUUAUUUCGCUUUAAGUCUUUUCUCAUAUCGACCUCGUUUGUAAUGUCAGAUCUUAUUCCUCUUGUUGUAUUCGAUCUUAUUCAUCAAUAAAAUCCAUCUUUGCAAAUCUGAUGAUAUCGUUGUGUUCUAGAAUUAUCGUUGUCCACAUCAUCUCUUCUUCCCCAGAUUAAACUUUCAAUCACUAUAAAAUACUUAAAUUUACACCGCAGCUACACCAACUCAAUCCGACUCUUGAUUCAUUUUAAGUCCAAUAUUUACUGUCAUUUUCAAUCAUAUGAGGUUUAGAAGAUAAAUCGACCAACAUAUAUAACAUUUAAGGUAAAUCGAUCUUGUAUUAAUAAUAAAAAUGAGAUUCAAUACAUAGGUUUAAGUUGCAUUAUAGGCUAUCAUAAGUUAAUUCCUAAUUCGAUCUAUCUAUACACCACACAACUUCACGCUGACAGAGUCUUCACGGCUCUUUGCUUGUACCACGAGUAAACCUCAGAUCCUUAAAGCAUAUACCAUUCACAUUAAUCAUAAUCCGUUGUCCUAACAAUCAAUUCGAACAAUGUAUGAUUUGAUUCCCUUAUCUAAUUCAUAAACCUCUAUUAAAUCAUCCAUACUUACAAUUAUUCUAAGUACAAUCACAAUCUAUAAGAACCAUAACCGAACCGCCCAUGAUUCAAUCCAACCACAUGACAAGGAUCUAGGAUCAAUCGUUUUAUCCAUUAGUCCGGCCCAUUGGCCAUGGACUUACUUACCAGAAUCGGCCAAGCCUAGGCCCAUGAAACCGAUUUGAGACAGGACACAAACGUGUUGUCUCUCAGCCGUUUGGUCUAGUAGAUCCCACGCCGCGGUUGAUCAGACCUUGGCGCGCAUCCGGCUGAAUGGCCAUGGAUCCCAGUUUGGAUGAAUCCGGUAAUGAGAUCCUAGAAUUCUCCUCUGGUUAUGGGAAGAGAGACAAUGGAUAAUCCUUGCAGCAGAGAGAUAAAGCUCGAUCAGAUCAAGGCGUGUGGGAUGAAUGGUAACACCAGAGUCUGCGGAAAGGCUCCUUGAUACUCCUAUAUGACUAGAUUGGAUAUGACACACCGAGAUAAAUACUCUUAACUCUGGAUAUUACUCACCAGAACAAUCAAACAACUCGAAAAGCAAGAGGAUGAAAGAGAUAAAGGGUUUUAGAUAAAAGAUUGCCUGACUUAGAAAGAGUUUGACACAAACUUAUAAAGAGACAAGUUGGAACACGCUCUAAGCUUUCUCGAAAACUAAAGACAAUAAAGAGAACUGGCUUCCUUGGGACUCAAACAGGACUAAACACUUAGAGUUUAAAAACAUAAAAACAUGACAUGAAAACUUAGAAAUAAAAAUAACAUAAGAUAGAUAUGUGAUUGAUCCGAGAUCAUCAUCCAUGCGAUAGGAGAAGCAACUUGUGGCCUCAUUAAAAACCUUGAUUGGAAAACCCAAUGGGACAGAGCGAAUCAAGGGAAAAAGAAUAUACAGAAGCUACUUGCCUAGAUGAUGAUCAGCUUGAAGGUGGAGUAGCUUGAAUGGUGAUGAGUGUGUCUUGGCUGAUCAAGCCUCGUCCAAGACCUUCUUCUUGCUUCGAAGCUGUCUUAAGCAAACAUCCAAUAGCUUCAUUGAGUUUCUUGGUUCUGGAACGAGUCAUAUGACCAUUAGGAAUGGUUAAGACAUCCUCAUCAGUCGGCUUGCCCAUGAUCUCAUUAUCCUCAUCAACUAGCUGGUCCAUGAUCACAAUAUCCGGCAUAAACCAUGAAUCCUUGUAACCACUUGGGGAUAGAGUAAAACCGGUUGCCUAUCAACCGCCUAGUCCAAUUGGUCCAUCCCUUGGCCGAUCAAACCAUACGCGCGUCCGGCCCAGAGGCCCUAUUACCAUCCCCAAACCAUUAUAUCUGAUCGCACAUACAAAAGGAAGAAGAAGAAUAUAAUCAAAUACAAAGAGAGAGAGUAGGAUAUAACCGUUCGCCCAUGGCCUUAGACUCGAUCGGACCAACCGAAGAUCCUAGCCGAUGGAUCGCCUGCUUACUCCACUGACCUUGGAUGUGUGCUCUUGUUGGUUGGAGUCCUUCUCUAAACCUGUAUCCUUGUCUUUUGUAUCCAUCUCUAAUCGUCCCUUAUUAUCUCAGACGAUCUCUCUCGCCAGGAAAAAUUCACCACCACAACCGGCCUUGUCUUGGUCGAAUAUCUCUCUCUCUCUUUAUUUCUCUCUUCUCUCGGUCUUUGCCUUUUGUUUCUUUAGAAACUGAUGAAUGAAAUCGACCAGAAGGUCCUCUAUUUAUAGAUAAUUGGGUCGGCCAACUGCCAUGGGCGAACAGGUGUGACUUGUUGGUCCAAUAAGUAUAACAUGUUCCAUAGUCCCAUUUCGCCACAACUGCUUCCUAAUGGGCUGGACCUGGGCCUAGACCCAUUACCAAAGCAUGUGGUUGGUCGCAUGGACCCCUCGGCCCAUUAAAACCUUGGGUCGACCACCUGGCCCGACCCCGGUCCGGACCCGGACUAACGGUCCAAGACUCGAACACUCAGUCCAUCUGAGCUGAAAUGACUCCCAGCUAAUCCACCUGAGUUAGCUAGUUCCUCCAGCUAGUUGAGUUGAAUCACUUUACCCGAACUCCGACCGAGCUUCGUCUAGGUGGUCGAGCUUCAUGUUUGUAUUGCCCAGCUACCGUUAUACUCUUCCAGCUUUCUUAUCCUUGUUUCUAUUUUUAUUUGGCUAAGUCUCAUCCUUCUGAUGCACUUAACCUUCUAUUUAGGCCAUGGUACGCUUGCCUUCAGGUCAUACGACCGGUUGGCACGUUUCCUCGAACUAUGGCCUAUUCCGACGAUCUUAAAUAGGAUCUGGGACAUGACAGUUCUAUCCUCCAAAAACUAACUUGGAAAGAAGACUAAGAUUCAAAUUAAAAUGAAACUUAAAAGAGGGCCAUGCUGGUGGUUUAAAACAGUACCACAGAGGAUGAGUCUUCAACAGCAAAUACCACACAAAUCACAUCAAUAACAUAAAAAUUCAUGUUAAAUAGAACGCAAAGUCUUUUCCUUUUUUUGAAGAAAGAAUGCAAACUCUAUAACAAAAAAAGUCAUGUUAAAUGGAAUAAAAACUCCUCGAUAUAUUUAAAAAUAAAUUUAAUCAAAAUUCUUACUAAUUAAUAAAGCUAUCUGAGUUUUAAUUAUCUUAUUCAUAUUUAUAAGAAAUAAGAGUGAAAAUACCUUUCUCCGGUGGUUUUACUGUUUCAAAAUACUAAAAACAGAGCAGUUUGUUGCGGAGAAAUCAUGUCUAUCAAAAGGGUUCUAUAUGCCGAAUCGUCUAUUGAUCCGAAUGUUAGGAAAAAAGCUACACCGUGGAAUUAUUUUCUGUGAAAUUGUUCAUCAUAAUUAUAUGUGUUGCAGAUAUUAAUCAUCGUAUGUAAUUAAAUAAAUAUGAUAUAUUGAUAUAAUCCAUGAUUUGUGUUUAAAAAAAACAAGAAAGCCCACAUGUUGUCGUAUAUGCAUGAUUAACCCCGGUCUUUUAGGCGGGGUUCUUAAUUCAUGAUUUGACUCUUUUUUUAUUUACAUUUUUGGCUAAAAGACGGCUCUUAUAUCUCCUAUUUAAGAGACGGUUCUUAGCUUUUCUUAGUUAAAAUUUAAAAAAAAACUAAGAAUUAUCUCUUAACCGAAGCUAAGAACUCCAAUUAAGAGACUGGGGUUAAUCAUGAUCUUAAGAGCAUGAUUAACUCGAGUUCUUAAUUUGAAGUUCUUAACUCAUGAUUUAACAUUUUUUUGAGUUUCUUUUUAAUAUUUUUCGGCUAAAAACCAGUUUUUAUAUCUCUUAUUUAAAAAACAUUCUUAGUUUUUCUUAAUUAAAAACUAAGAAACAGGGCCAAAAACCCCACCAUAAGAACCCGGAUUAAUUAUGGUCUAAUCCUACACAAUCUAGAAACAACACUGUAACGUUAGUUCAAUUAGUCAAGCCGCCCCUACCAGUCCAUCAUUUUAUAUUUAUAAAAAUAUCAAAGCAAAUUAACAUUCUUUGUAUAGAUAACUUCAAACAGGCAAAUACUAAUCAAACAAACAAACCAAUACAUUGACUUUACCUCUAUAAAAGCUACGCUAAAUAUCAACAAAAAGAUCACACAUACACAGACCACAAGUAGUAAAACCAAUAUAAAAAUGACAAACAUCUCACUCUCUACAUUCAUAUUCUCCAUUCUUUUACUCAUCUCCACCGCGACCGCCGCAACAUUCGAGAUCAUUAACCAAUGCGGUUACACCGUAUGGGCUGCCGCAAGUCCUGGAGGGGGCAGGCGUCUAAACUCAGGCCAGUCGUGGACAUUAAAUGUUCCGGCUGGAACGUCUAUGGCACGGAUCUGGGGUCGGACCAAUUGUAACUUUGACUCCUCGGGGCGUGGCCGAUGUGAAACAGGUGACUGUACUGGUGGACUUCAAUGUACCGGUUGGGGGCAGCCACCAAAUACGUUGGCUGAGUAUGCUUUGAACCAGUUCAACAACUUAGACUUCUACGACAUUUCACUUGUCGAUGGAUUUAACAUUCCUAUGGAGUUUAGGUAAGAAUAUCAUCUCACGAUAAUCUUUUCAUAAAUUUGAAAUAUUCAGGAAACUUUUCGGAUCAUAAACGUGAAAUCGGCGGUGUUCAAAACCUCAAUAAUUGGUUGGUGAAUCUAGAGGUUCACCCUAGGGGAUGAACCCAAGAAUAACUCGUUCUUAUAUAUUGAUAACAUUAAAAUCGGUGAACCCUAUGACUUAUCUCACGAUAAUCUUUUCAUAAAUUUGAAAUAUUCAGGAAACUUUUCGGAUCAUAAACGUGAAAUCGGCGGUGUAUACAAGUAUAACUCGUAAAUAACUCUUUUCAACAACUUAGACUUCUACGACCUUUUGCUUUUGUAUACAAGUAUAAAACAAUCAUAAAAGUUUGAAAAGUAAAGAAAAAAUAAAUAUUGCGUGCAAUGAAAGAAAUCUUGCUUGCUAAUUAAAUCUUGUAGGCACUAUGGAAACAUGCCGAAAAUAGCUUAGCAAAAGAAAAAUCUGAANNNNNNNNNNNNNNNNNNNNNNNUCCCUAGGUUCACCAACCAAUAGGAUUAUGUUAUUUCAAAUUUAAUAUCUUUUAUAAAAGAAAAUAAAAUAUUGUCAAGUUAUAUUAUGUUUUAAAAAUAAAAAAUAAAAAUAGUAGUAAUUACAAAAAUAAUAUUUUUAAGUCGUCAGAAAAAAACUAAACCCUAAAUCCUAAUCCCUAAAUCCGAAACCCUAAACCCUUGGGUAAACCAUAAUCUUUGGAUAACUCUAAAUCAAAAACAUUAAACACUAAAAUACUCAAGGGUUUAAGAUUUUAGUGUUUUUGAUUUCAAAUUUAUGAUUUAUCCAAGGGUUUAGGAUUUACCCAAGAGUUUAGGAUUUACCCAAGGGUUUAGGGUUUAUCAAAAGGUUUAGGGUUUACCCAAGAGUUUAGAGUUUCGGAUUUAGGAUUUAGGGAUUAGGAAUUAGGGUUUAGUGUUUUGCUGACGACGUUAACAAUAUUUUUUAAAAAAAAUAUUUUUUUUGUAACUAUUAUUUUUUUUACCUUUUUAUUUUAAAAACAUAAAAUAAAUUGAAAAUAUUUUGUUUUCUUUUUUAAAAGAUAUCAAAUUUGAAAUAACAUAAUCCUAUUGGUUGGUGAAUCUAGAGGUUCACCCUAGGGGAUGAACCCAAGAAUAACUCGUUCUUAUAUAUUGAUAACAUUAAAAUCGGUGAACCCUAUGACUUCGGAACCGCCAUUAAGUUUGCAUCCGAUAAUUUGCAAAAAAAAAUGUUUUUCUGUUAAUCGAAUCGUAGACCUAGGGUAAAAACUAUUAAAUCUUGACCGAUAGACGACCGUACAUUCACUCUUCUUUCUAUAGAUAUGAAAAGAUAUAUUAUUUUUUCAAAAAAAAAAAAAGAAGAAUCGAUGACUCUUUGCUGGUGGAGAAAAAAAACGGUUACAAUUGAAACUCUAUUGUAUAAAAACGUUUUGAGUCGAUAAUGAAUAUUUUUUUUUGUUGGUGCCAUAUUGUAUCUUCAGCGCAACCAGCUCAAAUUGCAAGCGGAUACUAUGCACCGCAGACAUAAACGGACAGUGUCCUAACGUGUUAAGAGCGCCUGGCGGUUGCAACAACCCGUGCACGGUUUUUAAGACGAACGAGUACUGUUGUACAAACGGGCAGGGAUCAUGUAGCCCCACAGGCUACUCAAAGUUCUUCAAAGAUAGAUGUCCCGACGCCUACAGCUAUCCACAAGACGACCCGACCAGCACUUUUACUUGCAGUAACACUAACUACCGGGUCGUGUUUUGUCCAAGGGCUAGGCUCGGUGCUACUGGGACAGACCAGCUCCCCAUCCAGAUGGUCACUGAGGAGAAUUAAUAAAAUGACGAGUCUCCAUUAUAUGUAUGUGUGCAUGAGUGUGUACGCGUGACUAUCACGCUUAAUGAAUAAUUAUGAUUUAUGAAGGCAAUAAUAAUCACGUUCAAAAAAAUAAUUUGCAUCCUUUUCUCAGACCAUCCAGUGUAUACAUAUAUUUCUAUCUCUAAAAUAAAGUAACUCUAAGAUAAAGGUGUAUUUUUUCAAUAUAUUCUUCUAUUUUUGCCUGUAAAAAUGAAUAAUCAUAAAAUAUUCUAUUUCUAUUUUACAACAAAUAUCUUUAUAUUUUUAUGUAAAUUGAAAAUUAACUCUAUUUAAUAUUAUUAUUAUUCUGAUAAUUGUUUUGUAUCAAUAAAAUGGUUCGCUGUUUGUAAAAUUAGAUCGAGUAACAUUUUACACAACACAUCAUAUUAAACUCAACCCCCACACUUAUCUCUAUAGAUAGGAGUAAGCAUCUAUCUAUAUAUAUAAAGUUGUGUUUUCUCUCUCCUGAGACAAAUCAGAUUCCAUGUCACAAAGUCUCUUUUUGUCGAGGCAACACGUGUCCUCUGUAAACAAAACUCAGCGUUUCAAUAAGGCGCCAUCUUAAACUCUGCAUUUCAUUGACAGCGAGCUGUGAGACCUUUUUAGGGUUUGGUGUUUCUUCCACAAUGAAUCGAAGAGUCUUUUUCUUCUUUGAUCUCUGUAAGGCGGUGUCUAUAUUCCUCUAAAAUGGCUAAUUCAUCAAUCUGUUUUCUGAAUAGAAGUCAACCCUAUGUUUUUCAACCGUGGAGGUGAGAUUGACAGAAACGUCAAACGCUGUGGAAAGACUUUCCGUCGCCUGCUGAUCCGAAAAUCAAGUGAUUGAAUCCUGAGAAGGGAGAGAUGGGUUUGGGUUUGAUCUUGGACUCGACUAAGGAUGAUGAACCAGAUCCAUAUACUCGCGGAUAUGGUGGUUGCUUAGUCUCAGACCCGAUAUUCUUCUUUUUAAAGAUCACUUUCGCCUGAAUUUUAUUUUGUUUAUGUCCUCAACUUCUGCAUUUUUAAUGUUUUGUUUCAUGUACUCUUCAGUCUCUUCAUUAUGUAGCUAAGUGCUGGUGUUCUCUUUACAUCUUUUUUCUUUCAGGAAGUGAAUAGAGAAAUCACUUGACGAAUGGUUCCUAAAGGUAUUAUUUUUGUUGUUGUUUUUAUUGCAGUUGCUUUGUCGAUGACAAAGAAGAAAAGAAGGGAGGGAGCAGAAGGAGAGUAUUGUUAAUGGUAUCAGAGAGACUGUCAAAAACUCUGUCCCUGUUUCUCUUUUGAAAACAUGGAAAAUAUCAAAUUCAAGGAGUUUAGACAACAGUUUAGACACAACGGAAGGUUGGUUUGUUUGCUUUGUUCUGUAAUUAUGAAUAGAUGGGUGUUGCUUGAACGUAAGUGAGAUUAAUAUACGUCACAUUCGGUCUUUCAUUUGAAUUUUGGUUCCUAUUGGUUCAGGUUUUUCCUCGGCUAGAACAAAUUGAUGCAGUUUGCUCUUGGUCCUUCUGCUUGAGAUAAAUCCAUCAUGCCAUCUUUAAAGCUUCUUAGGUUGUGUACUCAGCUUCUUACAAUAAUUGUUCUAUAUUACUUGGUCUUUUUUCGCCAGUUGCAUGUUUACAUAUGUUUUGGAAUUUUAUUUCAGCUUCUUUACAUGGUGAUGAUGAACUGCUUAUUACAGAUAUGCCAAAGGAAGAGGUUAAAAGGUAUCAUCUCUCUCUCUCGAAGACCUUUUUCCAUCUUGCUUUGGUGAAACCAACUAUGAAAGGCUUAAACUAUAUCCAUCUCUCCUGAUCAUCUCAGACAAGGAACUUCCAGGUAAAUAAAACCGAAGAAACCCAACUGUUAAGUUUUUGUGAUACCUCAAAUGACUUGACGCAAUGCAUCUAGUGGUUUAUAUCAAACUUACAUUGUGUUCACAAAGGAACCAUGAAUCGAGUGCUCAAUGAAAUCUCUCUUGCACUAUAUCAGUAUCAAACAAAAAACGACUUCAUGAAUCCUAUAAAGGAGAAUCGACUUGGAGUCAUGUUGUUAUUUAAGUUUUUAAAAGAAUUUUUCAUUCUUCAACCUUGUCACCUCACUUGAAGAACUGGGGGAAAAUGUUAGACCAUGAUUUCCAAAUUCCUUCCGCCAAAAGCACUAGUUCAUUGAAAACCCCUUCCCAAUCAAAGAAAACUAAGGGCGGUGUAUUCAAGAGUUUCAACUAAGAGUUUCAAAUGAUUUGUAUUAAAAUGAUAAGUCCACUGUUAUUCAAACAAGGAUUUAAAAAAAAUACUUUAAAAUCCAGUGUUAUUGAACUUAUCACUUUAUAAAACACUCUGAAAUCCACUGUUAUUGAAAAUAGUUUAAGUUAGAGAUUUUAUAGUGCUUUAAAUGUUUUUUAGGAUGUUUGAUAGGGAAUUCUUAGUUAUAAAAAUAAAAAUCCAAAUCCUAUGUUUUGUUUUGACCAAAAACUUCAUUCUUUCUAAAGUUCAAAAUCCAUUCAAGGAGGACAUACAAGAUAAAAAGGCGUUACUAGCCAAAGGAGUUGCCAUAUUACAAGCACAUCAAAACACAAGAACAGAUAAAUUCUUUAACGACAUGAUAAAGGAUCGAAUAGCGAAUAAGAUCCAAAGAACAUCAAAAGACCAACUCUCUGAAAGGAGGCGAAUGAGUUCUUGACACUCUGACUUGCAGACAAGCUUGGAGAUGCUCAAUAGAAUGGCUGCAACUUGUGCGUCCAAAAGAGCUAGACGCUCUGCAACAAUUACAGGAAGGUCACAAUACAAGGAGAAUAAACCUUGCAAUACUGGGAAGUCUUGAGCUUCCAGAUACAUGUUCUUAAAAGAACUAGAGAAACGGGAAGCUAUCAUCAACACAAAGCUCCAUACACAACUACCACUUAAACCAAGAGAAAAGUUAAGAGCAGAGAGAAACUCCAUAAAGUAUCCCACCAAGGCGACAAGAUUUUCAACGGAGACCAUGAAAACAGAGACAUGAGAUUCCAAAUCAAGCACAACUAAAACCUCGUUCUCUUUGUGACUUUAGACUACUCGUCAAACAACACAAAACGUGAGUGAUAAAACUUUGAACUACUAGAAACCCAGUGAUAGAAUCAAAAGCAAAGAACAAAGCUUCACUAACCCAAUCAAAGAACAUAUCACUUCUAAUACCAAGCACAACUAUCGAAUGAAUAACCACAGAUCCGAGAACCAGUAGGCAAAUAGUUUGUGGUGCCAAAAUCGAACAUGUUAGAGCUAGAAGGAACCGGAUAACACCCGGAGUAGAACCUGCAUACUGCAGUAGAGGAGUUAUUAAACAAUUCUAGAAUCGCAUCCAAAUCUCAAGGUAUUAUAUGAGAUUUAAUUCGUCCUAGGUUAGUUUUGUAAUUGAAAAAUAAAACUUCAUAAUUUAACUUUAACCAGACGACUUAAUUUUUCAAUAAAUAAAAUAAAAAUAAAAUAAUAUAGAAUAAUAAUAUUUAUUAUAAAAAUAAAAAUUUAUUAAUUUAUGAAAACUUUAAUAACAAAAAUAAUAUAUAAAAUUGUUAAAUUUACAGAAAUAAUAAUAUAAUUUUUAAUAUAUAAUUAUAUAUGCAUAUAACGGGUCAAAUCAUAUAUUCGUUCCUAAAAAUAUUAAUAUUUAUGGUUUGCUUCAUAAUAAGAGAUAUUGCUAUUAAUAUUUAUUUACCUACAAAAUUAUGAAUAUCCGGAUUUUUCGGUUUCGAAUCGAAAAAAAAUAAAAACUUGAAUUAAAAUUUAUAGUUAUUUUUGUGACUCUUAAAAAGAACUAUGUAGACCAAUUUGUGGCUGCUUUCAGGAUAAAAGUCGUUCGGUAAAACUAAUUAGUUUGUCAUCAUCAUCACUGUACAUUUGAGACUUUUAGACGUUUUUGAGUUUAUCGUUUUUUUUUGUGGGUCUCUAUAUUCUAUGAAAGAUUAGGCAUAAAAGAAUAUACCUUAAGAUUUACUGUUUUUAUAUCAAAACAUCUCUACCCUAGAAAUUGACCAACUUUUCCUGUAAUGUGAGCUCGGCAGAUAAAUUAAGAUAUAACUGUCCAAAAUUUUGUUUGUUAGGUACUUAGCCAUACAGGCUGAUUACAUGAACGUUUUAAUAAUCCACGACUUUAGUUAGGGGUGUAUUCAAUCUAAAGUUUGAGGUGAUUUGAUUUCAAACGAUGUUUUAGAUGAUUUUAGUAAAUUGAAGAGUUUAAAGUGAUUUUUGUUAAAUUACUCAAGAAUAUCACUUAAAACCAUGAAAUUUGAGUUUUAGUUUUUGUUAACUAAGAAUUUCACCCAAACAAUUUAAAAUCACUUGAAAACUCCACAAGUUAAAAUAUUUUCAAAAACAGUGGAUUUCAGAAUACUUUCACUACAAGAAAACAUAUACUUAAUGACGACAUGAAUCAUAGUUAAUUCGUCGUAAAAGGGCCUUUACAAAGAAAUAACCUCGAAAGUCAUUUUGUCGUUAAUCAUCGGUCGUAAACCAUUUUUCCUCACUAAAUCGUCGUAAAUUUAAGUAGAAUAGAUUUCGUUAAAAUGGUUGGUAAUAAAUUCAUCGUAAUAUACAUGCCAUUUAACGACGUCUAUUUCCUAGUAAUACAAAGAGAAGAAAUCGUCGUAAAGGACACGUAAACUUUUCAACAAAAUUACGUCUACUUCCACAUAAAUCUUUUAAUUUACAUCGAUAUAACGAGUCUUUCCUCAUUAAAUAGUCAUAAGCUUAGCUAUACGAAUUUACUUUGAUUCUUAUUUUUCAAUAUUAAAAAUUGAAAUCAUUAUAUUUUACUAAAAUUAUAAAAAAUUAUAAAAAAAUUAAAUUAUAGAAAAAUCUAAAAAAUAUUUAUAAAUAUUUAAGUUUCAAAUUUAUAAUACAUGAGAAAAAAAGAAAAAAAAAACUAGCUAGGGGUUCGGAAAUUCCGGGAAGAAGUCCUGACUCCUUAUCCUCCUUAUCCUCCUCCUCUGAGGAGCGCUGUGGCUGUGUAUUUCCAUGUCCCGCCCGUCUCGCCUGCAACAUGUUGUCCAAUUGCGGAUUUCCAGCCACUAGAACGUCUAGAAAACAUUCAAAUGAACCUAAUCGAGCUUGUGUCGAGCUCAAAUCAGAACUCGUCGCACUCAACUCAGAACGCAGCUGAGCAGUCUCAUCAUACUGUCUAUGACCAUAAGACGAUCGCCGUCGGGACAUCGUUAACGGAACCGAUUCCCAACAUACAUCCCUUUUUCUUAGGGACCACCUUCCAAAAAAAGAUUGAUUUUAGUGACAAAAUGAAGUCGUUCUAAAAACAAAUUUGUACCACCUCGUAAAUCUUAUCCACUUUAGGUGUGGAUAAAGUGACGGGUAUUUAAUAGGGGGACUGUUGGGUCUGGCGCUCUUCAAUCCAAGCAACCACGUCGUUGUGGAUUUGCUCAGACCUAGAAUCUACAAAUUUCCUACACUUGUUCUUGUGGGUCCUCUCGUAAAGCUUCUUAAGAGAUGGUAGUACUCAUGUCUCUUUGGCGUAAAAUAUAUAUGAAAGUUAGAAUAUAUUAAAAAUAAAUAAAAGAUAUAAUCGAAAUACUUAUCAUCUCUAGACGGAUACCAGCGUGGAGUUUUUGGCCUGGUGAGUGAAGCAUCGACAAGUUACCAUGCUCAUCUUUCGUCAGAGGGGAAGCGGAGCAACUGUUGGAGACUCUAAUCGACGAUGGUUGGUUCAAAUAAUGGAUGAGGCCAUCCCACACAUCCUUCAUGAGCUCACUUGGUUUCCCGUGCUCAUAACCCUUCACCACC